Molecule: long non-coding RNA, 51310 nt
Filed under: Sorghum bicolor (sorghum)
Lineage: Eukaryota; Viridiplantae; Streptophyta; Magnoliopsida; Poales; Poaceae
Description: long non-coding RNA (SBIC_LNC010326)
Source: RNAcentral
UCCUGAUAACCCCCUGCAGAAAUACACAAACACCAAAACUCGUGGAAUUCUGUCAGAUAAAACCCUAAGUCUAGGUGUUGGUUGCAUUUGGAUCCUUUUCUAUGAUUAAUUGAUGGUUAAUUGUGAGCAUUAAGGACCGUCAACAAGCUCCCCCAAGCUUAACCUUUGCUCGUCCCUGAGCAAAGAUGAACUCAAGAGUUUCUGCAGUGGUUUCAUAACUUAAAGAUACACAUGCGUUUAAACAAGAUCUCAUCACUGGUUAGAGUAAACUGUUAAGACUUAAAACUUACUCAUUUACCUUUCACCAUGGGACUUGUAACCGUCACUUCUGUCUUGAGUAGUUAAAAGAUAGAACGGUCUAGUCAAGCACCAUGUCUCUUAUUCUUGAUCAGCUAUAGCUCUGGAGUUUUUGCAGAUUUUCAAAUAAAACUCAGAGAUUCCUUGUAUGACUCUCUCUAGUCUCUCUUUUGUGGUAUUUCUGGAUCCUUACCAAGGCAUUAAUGGUGUAUGCCUUCUCUCAAAGUAUGUGGUAUUUGUGGUAUAAGGCAUAGUGGCAUUGCCUUCUCUCUCACCCUACUCUAAUAAGGCUUUUGAUAUCUGGAGCUCAUAGGUGGGAGACAGCUAAUACAUACUUACAAGACAUUUAUUGCAUAGUCAAACCAUGGAUCCAGAAGAACAAGUCAAUAAGUCAAAUCAAGAUGUGCAUGUGUGGCGAAUGAAUGGUGAUGAUGGUGAUAACAAUGGUGGAAGUCUAAUUCUACUUAUGCUCUUUUGAGGGGAUACAUACCUUUCUUGCUCUUUUGAAACUUUUUGAGGAGAAUGAGAUGCUCUAUAUUUUCUUUUUCUUUUCUCUCAGGUGGGUAUCUUGUACCCCUAAUUCUACUGUCGGACACUUGCCCAUUUUUACCUCUCGUCUCACUUUUUUUCUCUCUUUUUUUUCUUUCGAGGUUCCGGGCACCUGCCCCUUUUUAUUUCCUCGCAUCUUCUCUUUUUUUUUCUUUUUUUUUCUUUUUUUUAGAGCACUCAUCUCAUGAGAUAAUAUAGCAAGUGGUAGUAACAAGAUAACUUGAGCAUUUAUUUCACAGGGGAAAAACAGAAAUAUUUUUGGCUAUUCUCUCCCGGAUUAGGAGUAGAAUAUUUUUGGGUGGUUCCGGAGAUGGAAAUGGAUGGAUAUAUGUGGAUGUAGCAUGUAUGAGUGAACGUGCAAGUGAAUCUUGAUUUAACCACAUGACAAGCUCCUAAGGGUCUACACAGCUUGACCACACUCAAUGCUCAUAAGUAGUAAAGUAAAUGUAUGGUUCAUAGUCUAGCAAGCAUGUAUAUAUGGCUGUGGUAGGAAUUUAAACUCUCAUCAUACAGGAACUCAUCAUGCAACAUUUUAAAGAUUUUCAAAGAUAAAAUUCUCCAGAAUUCUAGCAUCUCUAGGAACAGAUAAAUAGCAGCUCAACCUUCCCAUAUCGUAUCCGUUAACGACUUAGACUUUAGAUCAAGUACUCUCCCCACAAGUUCAGGUUUAGAGCAAAUCUUAAUUAAUAACAGUCAUGCCUAAACUUGAGAGAGAUUUCAAUUUUGAGAACUAGUCAUGGCAGAGCAACUAUUCAUGAUUCCAUGUGAGAGCUUAUCAUGAGGGUUCACAGCAAACUUUAUUUAUUUAUUUAUUUAGCAAACUAAGCAAAGAUAUAUAUAUAAGCACAAAAUCUUUAUUUAGAUUUUUAUGAUUAUGUAUCUUUUUUAUUAUUUGAGUAAAGUAUAAACAUGAGUAGAACACUUAGCUGGAUAAAUGGGGGUGCUCUCCCCCAAGCUGGAUUUCGACGUAAUUUCUUCUGAUCUAGCUAGCAGGUGGCGGAGGUGUAUUUGAAUGUCGGCAGCACCCUGACAGCGAUUAGGAUAUCCUCCGUCUGCUAGUCUUCUUUGAUCCUUGAAUUCUGUGGAGCUCAAAUAGACAACAAAGCUUUGUGGAACUGGUUAAGUGUUAGCAUAAAUAUCUAGCCUUUAUCAUGUUGAGCCUCCUCAAUAAAUAUUACUUUCUUUGGUAGGAUCAUAAAUUUAUUUUUAUAUUUUCAUUUUUAUAGGACAGGAAUAUAUUUAUUUUAUUUUUACGCCACCACAGUGAAUGUACUUAUGGGUUUUAUGCCAUGAGCAUACUCACAUGGGGCUUACUAUUUUUAACAUUUUUAUUUUCUUUUCAAGAUGAUGUGAACCUGAUUAACUAAGCAAACUAUUUUAAAUAAUUGAAAGGAGAAAGAUAACUACCAAGUUUACCUCUUGGCAAGGCGUUCGGUGUUUUUAAGUCAUCCGAACGGGACUCUCCGUUUCCUGAGUCAUUCUGGGAUUCGCUGGAUGGCGUAGUCGGUGGUUCCGGCGGUGCCUGCUCUUCGUGUAUAACUAUCUUCUCUCUCUACACCUGCCUCGGUGCUACGGUCUCCUCAGGACAAUUCUGUUCAAGUUGUAUGUCUUCAGACCUUACAACUUCUCCUUCAUAGUCUACCCAUCCGUCCUUGAUGAUUUGCCUCCUCUGGUUGCGGUUGCGUCGUCGUCUUCUUGUCCUGACCUGCUUAGAGUCUUCAACUUUAUAGUUAGGGUCAGUAAAAUAGCGGCGUACCUUCUCAGAGGGGAAGUGCAUGUGGACUUCUCCGGUUCCAAUGUAGAUGAUUGCUUUAACAGUGCUGAGGAACGGUCUCCUUCAACCUUUCGGAAUGUCUGAUCUGCCAUCUGGAGCUUAAUGUAUGUCGGUUUUAGGGGCAUGGUUUCGAAUAGGAGCUGAUAGGUGACUGCGGCCAUUAUGUUGGCGCCUGACCCGAUGUCGCAAAGCAUCUUCUGGAAGUUGUAUCCAUUAGUGGAGCACUGGAUGCUUGGCAUACUUGGGUCGUCCUUUUUGAUCAAGAAAGAUGACUUGAGUUGACGAUCUUGACCUCCUUGAGCUGCAGUGACCAUCUUAGCUGACUCAGUCCACAUUUGCUUGUUCCUAUUCCACAUGUUGAUCCUCUUCCUUGGUUCAUGUCGGGAUUGCUUUAAGAUUUGUGUAGUCUUAUUCUUGAAGGAAAACGUCUCCUUUCUCCCUUUGAUGUAGAAACUGAUCUUGGCAGCACUAGCGUAGAUGAUAGCUCCUGAGGUGUUUAGGAAUGGCCUCCCUAGGAUGGGUGCCCUCUCAUCAGUACCAGUCUCUAUCACCACGAAGUGUGCUGGGGCGUACAAGGUACCAACUCGGACGCAGAGGUUCUUCAAUAUUCCCUUUGGGGAACUUAGUGUCCGAUCUGCAAGCAUGCCGAUGGAGAUUGGGAUGACGAGGCGUCCUGGAUUGUCUCUCUUGACCGGCAGAAGGUCAGUAACUACUUCCACAAUGGGGUUACUCCAUUAGUUACGUCCUCAAGCAUCCUAGGGCAGUGAUUGCCUGAGUGUCCAGUAUCUCCAGUGCGUUUGUACUCGUAGAUCUAGGUUCUUCACUUGGUGGAGUCUGGGAGUUGUAAAAGUCCUUCAUAUUUUGCUCGAAGUGUACCUGCUCAUAGAGACAAGGCAGAGAUCAAGUGCAUGGGCCCUGUUGGUGGAAAACACCAACAGAACCAAAAGUGUAUUUGUUCUCUCUAACCUUAAGCAUAGUGAGCAAGACAAAGUUGAUGGAUAAUAAAAUCAUGAGUGUAGUAUUUAACAUUUGUCAGAUUAGAUUGCUCAACCUUAUGGAAAGAUAAUCUAUCUAUAUAAAUGUUUUUUUCUUUACAUGACUAUCAUUUUCCAAAGAUUGAGUGUGCAACAUUUUAGUUCAUAUGAUUAGGAGUGUGGGAUCACAAAGGUGGAAGGACUAAACAUAUUGAAUUGACUGGGUUGGUUAAUCUAGAGUUGUAAAUCAUACAUGUUUGUCUCUUUUAUUUAUGUGAACGCCAGAAUAAGGAGAAGCUUAUAGAAGUGAUAGUCAAGUACCUUAAGAUGUUACCUUACUUGAAGAGUGAUGGUACAGUAUCACCUUGUGGAAGCUUUCCUUUCUUAGCGGUUGUGCAUCGUGUUUGUGGCACCCUCCAUGGAACAUCUCUUAUGAGCUAUGCCUUCCUUGUAUAAAUUGUUAAACUUCAUGUGCCUCUCUCUUUGUCUCCAAUGUGAGUUUAUCUCAGGACUUCCCAGGUCGAUAUUGAAAGUUUUCCUACAGGGGUUAGUCCAACAAAAUAUCCAAUAUCUACUAUAGCAUACUAUCGGCUCAAAAAUCAACCUAGACACCAUGUCUAAUUUGACUUAGGAGGGUAUUUUAACCUAAGCACCAUGCUUAAUCUAAAAUCCCUUGGAAGUAAGAUCAUCAUUCCUAGCUAAGCACCAUGCUUAAUUAAGAGAUAAAUGAAACUACUCCAAACCUAGACAUAUACUAAAGCAAAUAAAGGUGGCAUGAGAGCAUUUAUACAGAUCUACUCAAGUGGAGAUGAAGUAGUGUGAUUAGUAUUUAACAAAUUGAGCAUGUCUCAAUGGUAAGGACAACCAACAUAGCAACAUGGCAAAGGAUGUUUUAAUGUAAAGUACUCCCCCAAGCUUGAAUUUUGCAAAAUUCAAGUUUGGAUGAAUUUAAUUCAAUGUUGUAUGAUGAUUGGUUGUACAUACCUUGUGCUUGUCAUUCAUCCGAUCUUCUUGCUCCAAUCCUAGAAAGGUUAGUGACAAGAAUACCCGAAGGAAUAUUUUUACAAUUAUCCUAAUAUGCUCAACACACAAGGUAAUGUUGCAAAUAAUUAAAAGCUCAUGUUAUGAUCUGAUCAGUGCUUGUUUUAGGACACUAAGCUUGUCCUUGGGAAACCAUCAGUUUAUGUCAGUGAAGUGGUUUCCUCUCCAAUGCUGACUUAUAUCAAGAUCAACUCAACGAGAUCUGCAAAAUUUAUUAUAGACAUAUGCAUCGACAACCGCCCUUUUAAAGUUUUUAUAAAUAGAAAGAAUGAAGGGGUUGGAGAUCUCGAAUGUGGUGAUGUUGGAAAAACCAAUGGAUUGGAAAGAUGUUGCAUAUGAGCAUGGAGCAAAUGAAGUGGCUAUGAAAUAAUUUCCAUGCUCAUUAAUGCUUAGAGUGAAAAUCAUGUGGUAUGGUGAAAAUGAUAAGGUGAGUGUGGUAAAAAAAGAAAAAGAAAAAGGAUACACGGACGACUUGGUUCGAAACUAGCACAGCUACCGUUCCCCGGCAACGGCGCCAGAAAGCUUGUUGGGUAUUUUAAACGCAAACAGAAAAAAUCCGCAAGCGCACGGAUACCGAUGUAGCCUUCACCCGGGAGUAUUCCAGAGUAUCGAUUUUCCACAGGGAACGUGAGUGUACUAAUUAAGAUCCAAGAUCGCCCAAGGAUAACUAUAUAAUUAUUUUUGGUGGGAAGAGAGGAAGUUUCCUGAGAGUUCUCUAGUUGAUCUAAGAAUCAAGUAUUACUUCAAGAUUAUUUAUUUCGGGACAUCAGGACACUAACCACAGAAAGAGAUGAGAAGGGGGCUAGGAAGCUCCGACUACGGUCCUACAAACACCGAUCCGAACGAGGUGGAAUACGUCGACCGUUAGGGCUGUCACUACCCUAAGGCUACCACAACAAUCCGUAGGAUUGGGUGCAAUUCUAGGUAAUUGCAAGACUAAACACCACGUCUAAUCUAUUAAUUACUACUCUAAUGUUUCAAAGAUUAGAGCACUUGAUGCAAGCGGGAAUCCAAUAAAUAACUUGAAUGUAAAUAAAAGUAAUUAGAGAACUCAGGAGUUAUGAAUUGAAGAACCUGGAGAACGAUGAAGAACGAACCAGAUGCUGCAAAAGUACAAUGUUGAGGAAGAUCCGACAGAUCCGGCUCCUCCUCCUCUGCUCUCCUCUUCUCUCUCCCUAUUUUCUAGAUUACAACUAGAACUAACUAGAACUAGAACUAGAGGAACUAGAACUAGAAGAACUAGAGGGAUCCUCUCUACUUGGAUGAAGAAUUAAAACCCUAGCUUUGAUUCUGUAGAAGAGGUAUGAUCUCCAGGGGCCAGGGGGGUCUGGUUUUAUAGUCCCUUCAAGUGAAUCUGGGCCGUCGGAUCAAACCGACAUUGAUCGUGUGGUUUUCCUUGAAGUAUUAGGUCGGUGGAGCAUGAUCCCCGAACUUCACCCUGAUUGGUCCAGGGGGGAGGGCGGGCGCCCUCAGGACUAGGGCGGGCGCCCAGUGCCUGAGCCCUCUCGGCCUCCGCUUCGGUCCCGUGGCUUCUGGAGUCUUCUAGAUGAUAGAAAAUUGCGCGACACGUUAAUAUCUCUAUGUAAACCAGACGUGUGGGCCUUUCUUCCAUAUUUCCUGAUAACCCCCUGCAGAAAUACACAAACACCAAAACUCGUGGAAUUCUGUCAGAUAAAACCCUAAGUCUAGGUGUUGGUUGCAUUUGGAUCCUUUUCUAUGAUUAAUUGAUGGUUAAUUGUGAGCAUUAAGGACCGUCAACAGCGCCCUACCCCCGAGCCCGUCCGGUCUCCCGUUCGUUCCCGUGGCUCCUGGACUCUUCUAGAUUAAGGAAAAUUGCGCGGCACGUAAUUAUCUCGUUGUAAACAUGACAUGUGGGCCUUCUCUCCAUAUUUUCUGAUAACCCCCUGCAGAAAUAGAUAAACACCAAAGCUCGUGGAAUUCUGUCAGAUAAAACCCUAAUUCUAGAUGUUUGGUGCAUAUUGAUCCUUUUCCAUGUUUAUUUGAUGGUUAAAUUUAGUACUUAAGGACCGUCAACAAACUCCCCCAAGCUUACCCUUUGCUCGUCCCCGAGCAAACAGCUAAACUCAGAUGGAUCAGGAGUUGCUUCGAUGUUUUCUUUUCUGACAGGUACACAUGCUUUUAUAUAAAAAUUCUUCUAGAUUAAAGUGAAGUGUCAUGGAGCUUAGUACCUGCACUUAAGUCUUAAGUAAUUGAAAGACAAAAUAAUUAAGUCAAGCACUAUUGCUCCUGUCUAUACUUCACCUUUGUUCCAGAGUUUUUCAUAUGUUUUCAAAAAUAAAUUCAGAGUUCCAAGCAAUGAUUCUCUCAAGUCUCUCUAUAUGUGGUAUUUGUGGAUCCUUACCAAAAAUAUCACUUACCUAUAGCUUAAUGGAAUAUUUAAGUGGAGCUCGUAGGAGUGAAAAACAGCUCAUACAUAUGUUGUCUAAUCGAGGCAUGGAUCCAAAGGAACUCAGUAUAUAAUUAAAUCAAGAUGUGCAUGUGUGGUGGAGUAAAUGAUAGUGAUGGUAAAAAAAUGUAUAAGUGAUAAUAAAACUUACUUCUCAUUGCUCCUAAUAUUGCUAUCUCUCCUCUUCUUUGAUCUCUGCUUUGGGAGAACAUGGGCUAUCUUUUUCUUUUCUCUCUCUCUUUUUUUUCAGGUGGGUAGUAGACAGCCCUAAUUCUGCUGUCGGACACUUGUCCAUUUUUUCUGCUCAAGUGGGCAUCUUUGUACCCCUAAUUCUACUCCGGACACUUGUCCAUUUUUACCUCUCGUCUCACUCUUUUUCUUUCUUUUCGAGGUUUCGGGCACUUGCCCCUUUUUAUUUCUUCACAUAUUUUUGCAUAACCCAUGCCUCUUCUACAUUGAAUCUUUUUAGAGAGAGAGAAUAACAAUAUUUGGGACAGUGAGUGAUAAUAUUUUUAGCAAUUUUAAUGAGUGGUGGUGGAGGGUGUAGUAGAUGUGUGCAAGUGAAUAUCUUAAUUUAACCACAUGAAAAGCUCCUAAGGGUCUACACAGCUCGAUCAAACUCAAUGUGAAUAUAGUAAAAGAUGUUAUAGGAAGUAUGGCUGUGGUAGGAAGUUUGUAUGCUAGGAACUCAUCAUGUGAUUUGUAAGUUUUCAAAAUAAAUCUCCAGAACUUAGUGUAGUAGGAACAAGAUAAACAGUAGCUCAAACUUUAUAUCAUGCCUUUCUCUUACUUAGACUUUAGUUUUAGGCUCAUGCUCCCAUAGAUAUUAAAUUUCAGAUUUAGUAAUUCCUCGAAGAACUCUAAUAUAAAAGCUUAAGUACUUGAAAGUAAGCAAACAGAGCAACUGUUCAUCAUUUCCAUCAUACAUCUUUUUGGUCUUUUUAUUUUUCUAGAGAUGAAGACUUGGCAUGUAAAUAAAGCACACUUAUCUACACACUCUUUUUAUUUUCUUUUCAUGUUUAUAGAAUGCAGUAAUUUAAAGCAAGAAAAUAUUUAUUGGGUUUUCCAAGUUUUUCUCUUUAAGAUAAAAUGAUAAAAUAGAAAAGAAUAAAUAAGAAAAGCAAAUAAAAGCUUACCUGAUAAAAAGGGGAGGAACUCCCCCAAGCUGGAUGUGGUUGUCGGUCUUACCCAGUGUUCCAGAACCGCAUCAUGGUGGUGAUGUUGUCGUUCAUUGUCGUGGUGUCUUAUCUCAGUUCUUGUACUGCAGUGGCGUGGUUAUAGUUCCAUUUUUUGUUGCUGUUCCAGGAGUCGUCCAUGUUCCGCUUGCGUAUCUUGGAUGGCGAGGAGGAUGUUCUCGGUACGGGUGAAGAAAGCACCGGCCUCUUGGUAGUAGUCGUUCGUGAAAGCAUAAGAGGCGUCGGAGUAUCGUCCUGCAUCGAAUUGGGGCGGAGGUCUAGACCCUGAAGCUCCAUAUGGAUCAGUGGAGUGCCUGCCCGUAUGGAAAGGCGGGUUUGUCCACUGGUGAUCUUGGCUCUCCGGCCAUGUCUCCUGUGUUGGCUCUUAUGGUUGAGCAUGUCGAACCCAUGGGUCCCGAAGGACUCGGGGGUUGUAGUUGCAAUAAUGCAGGUGUGCUGCUUCUUCAGGCCCGGGAUCAACUCCAUACCAGGUGCGUUCUUGAUGGGUGGUCAUCCUUUCAGAUGCCACUCGUUGUGGAGCUCUCUGGUUUACCAGUGUCACUGCAAUCUCAAUCAAAAAAUUUUGAACAACAUAGAGGCCAAGGUUCGGGUUAGGUAACCGAAUCUUGCCUUUGUUAUCAUAUAACAUAUACAUUAUGUUCCCCUCUUUCUUUAACAUCCGAGCUUGUCUAAAUGUGUCAUAGCCAUGAUAAAUCCGUAACUCAUCUAUGAAUUCCAGUGAUGAGUUUCCUAGUAAAUGGAGACUAGAGGCUAGACGAGUGAUAAGUGAAGUACACCCUAUAGGUCCCUGAAGACUAGGUAUACUAAGCCAAUGAGAAACCAAAAGUGUAACAGGUGAAGUGGGUACUUUAUUUACAGCAGCAUAUAGAAGUUGUAAAUCUCCUGCUCUUACUUUCUAAUAUCAUCACGAUAGAAAAGAUUGUACCCAAGCCAUUUGUGGAACAUCCUAAGAGUGGGGUGUUCCAUGUCACUGGUUCGGGCUUGGCUAUAAAACUCAUCUCUAGAUAUCUCUCUCCAAAACUGGUGUCUCUCAAAAUUGGGUAAGUCGGAGUCAAUGUUCAAGAUGCAUCUUGAAGAGAAACCGAGAUGGUUGCUCAGUUCUCUCCAAGACAACAUAAUGUUCUAUUUGAACAUCCGAAAAGCAAUUUCCCACUCAUAAUAUUGUAAAGUGUAAAGAAAUUCAAGGGUGAGAAAACGGGAACCUAGCUCAGUUAUGUUCCAAAAAUUUGUCCAUCCCACCAUCUGGAAAAUUAAAUCGAAUUCAGUAUCCAUACCUGUUUCUUGUAGCAAGAUAGGAUCAAGAGUGGGGGUGUGAAUGAAAUCUUUGUUCUUUUGCUGUUGGUAAACUUCCUUUUCCCUACGGGUCUUCAGUCCAAGGUCUCCUAUCUUGAGGAGGACCUUGACUUGCUGAUCAGAUGAAGAUGACGGAGCUUGCGGGGGUGUUGAGUCAAUGCUCAUCUCUGACUGGUGCGAGGAGUGUCGGGACGAGCUCCUCGUACCAAUGUUCUUGAGGACCUUCCCUGCGUUCUUCACCUUCUUGAACAUCCUGUAGACAAAAGUUGACACACACACAACUAGUGGGAAAUGUGAGAGAAAAUGUUAGUGGUCAGCUGUCCGAAAUGUCAGUAGUCCAGGGGUUAGUCGUACAAGACAAGUUUUUAUUUUGGCAGCACCUACCCCUAAAAACUUUUACUUCCGCUUUGGACAGCGGGAUCACUACUUACUAGGUGAACCUCACUCUCUCACUCAGAGACUACCAACCUCUCUUCCACUCUUCUCUUCCUCUCUACACUCUUCUUAGGCCAUCCUCAAUGAGAGUUUCAUGACACAGUUUCCAACACAUCAAUAUUUUGGAAACAGUGCAUAGGAGUUUCAUGGGGAUGAAACUCUCUCUACUCCCAUGAAACUCUUAUCAUCUCUCUCUUCAUUAAUAUAGCGCCACAUCAGCAUAUUUAAUGUGCAUGAAACUCUAAUGAAACCUCUAUUGAGACUGGCCUUACUUCACUACAAGAGCUCCUUCUCUGGAAACUGAAACUUGCGUGGUUUUCUAGAAUGCUUGUGUGAAGAAGUUGGAGGCAGAAAGUAUCAAUUUAUAGGAGGAAAGGGGGACAGGGCGGGCGCCCACCUUUGGUGGCCAUCCUAGCUGCCUUUUCUCCACUCCCUCCUUUGCUUAGCUCUUACGCAGAAUAAUAGUUCAAUGGUGGUGGUUGGUCGGUGGAAAAGUGCUGGUGAGUGGAGUUAUGUUGGUGGAUCAAAUAAUGUGAUGGGAUGUAUGUGAGGUGUGGUGUAUGACAUGUGGUACCCAAAGAGUGUGGGUCAUGCUUCUAGAAGGUUGCAAUAAUUAAAUAUAAUGCAAGAAAAUCUAUGAGAAUUGAAACAUAUUGAAAAUGAUCAUGGAAAAUGUAACAGAAUCGCCCAAAUUAUAAGAGAUUAAGCCUAAUAGUGACCAUUUGCACAGUCAAACCAUCGAGCUUAAUCCCAUAUAAUCCCGGUAGUCCAUGAAAUCCCAAAGAAUUUCAAACCACAUUUCGUACAUACAGCCAAGAUCGUAAUAAGUUUAGCAGUCACCAUUCACAAUUACACCCAGUUCGCAUCAUUCAUCAAAUACAUCGGAGUACUUAAAGUUAUUACAAACCAAGUUCACAAGUAGCGGAAGCUUCAUAGUUUGAAAGUAACACACACACACAUUUAGUCUGAUACAGUGCCAUAAUUUGAUCAUUCCCACAAAAGCAAAAGAGAAGGUGGAGGGACCAUCGCCCUUGGUCUAGUCAUCACCCAACGCUGGGUACAGGCAGAGGAUGCAAUAACCAUAGUACAUUUGCCCAUCUGCAAAACAACAUGGGAAUGGAACCCUGAGUACGAGAAUGUACUCAGCUAGACUUACCCGUCAUAAAUCAAAGACUCUUCAAGGAUCAUGAAGGCUGUAUAGUGGGGUAGCUGAGACUUUUGCGAAAAGCACUACUCACUAGAAGUACAUCCUGACAGUAUUCUCCUUUCUUUUAAUUAGCUCAGGUUAGGUAUUAUUACCUAUCAUCUAGAUUUGCACCUGUACUAUUUGAAACAAAUGUAGUAAUAUGAUGGUACCUCAUCAUAGCAUUCAUAAACAUUAAUCAUCAUAACCCAAGUGUUCCAUAGUACUUACUACGAGGACGAAGCUCAUGUCAAGUGCUCACUAUCCAGGAGCGAUGGCGAUUCGAAUCAAUUUCUGACCAACUGGCGAGUUAUUCCCCACACACACCACACUCACUAAUCAAGUGAGCUACAGAACACCGUAUUACACUAUCCAGGACCAAAUCGCAGGUUCGGCAGGCACCGCCAGUACCCGAGGACCAUUCCGGCGACCGAGGUAUCCAAGGUAUACCAAGGUUGCGCGCCGCGCCCUCGUCGUUCUCCUCAACCAUCACCAAUACAGCGCAUGGUGGCUCGACUCCCAGCCUGGAUAGUGUUCAGGCUUCAUGGUCGGAACGACUUAUCCUUCCAGCUAAGUGUGGGGCAUGCGUUCAACAUGACAAGAGGGCCGUCAACGAUCGGUCCUUAAUCGACACAGGCAGGGGCACUACGGUCAACCCCACCAUAAGACCCUGCCCGGUCUCAAAUUCCUUUCCACACUUGGUUACUUUUCCCCAUAGCAAUUACAGCUAAUCAAACAGGUGUCCACCUAUAUCUCGUAGGUGGCAGGGAAUCACCCGACUUUUACCAGACUAGGCAAGCUAAGCAUAGACUCCGUGCCUAUCUACAUAGGACAAGGUAGAUAAACAAGGGUGUUGACGGUCCUUAAGUACUAAAAUUAACAAUCAAAUAAACAUGGAAAAGGAUCAAUAUGCACCAAACAUCUAGAAUUAGGGUUUUAUGUGACAGAAUUCCACGAGUUUUGGUGUUUAUCUAUUUCUAUAGGGGGUUAUCAGAGAAUAUGGAGAGAAGGCCCACAUAUCAUGUUUACAACGAGAUAAUUACGUGCCGCGCGAUUUUCCUCAAUCUAGAAGAGUCCAGAAGCCACGGGAACAAACGAGAAGACGAUCGGGCUCGGGUGCAGGGCGCCCGCUGUUGACGGUCCUUAAGUAUCAAAUUUAAUUAUCAAAUAAAUAAAGAAAAGGAUCCAAAUGAAAUCAAGAUCCAAACUUAGGGUUUUAUCUGACAGAAUUCCAUGAGUUUUGGUGAUUGUCUAUUUCUGCAGGGGGUUAUCAGGAAAUACGGAAGAAAGGCCCACACGUCGGGAUUACAUAGAGAUAUUAACGUGCCGCGCAAUUAUCUUACAUCUAGAAGACUCCAGAAGCCACGAGACAGAAGCGGAGGCGAAACGGGGCCAGAGGCAGGGCACCCGCCCUCCUGCCCUAGGCGCCCGCCCCCUCUAGCAGUCCAAUCAGGACUCUGCUUCGUGGGAGAUCUCCACCGACCUAAAGGGUGAAUCUAAACCAUACAAUCUAUGUCGGUUUGAUCCAAUGGCCCAUAUUCACUUGAAGGGACUAUAAAACCAGACCCCCUGGCCCCUGGAGGAGGGAGCCUCUCAACCCUAAUUCAUUGUUCCUCAAGGGAGAAGAAGCCUCUGAUCAAGAUUAGAGCCACCACAUCAAUUAGAUAUCUAGAUUAGCAUAGCUACAUAGGAUUAGAACUAGAAGGAGUCAAUCUUCGAUUGGUUUCCGGAUCUGUCAAGAGGAUUCUUGGUAAUUCUCUAAUUGUGCUUCUAAUUGCUUUCUAAUUAUCUUUGUUCUUCAAUAUUAUGAAUAUGACUUUGUUCUACUUCAAUAUAUUGCUUAUGACUUUGCUCUACUUGCUUAUAUUCAAGAUUAUAUUGUUCUUAGUUUAUCAUAGUUAUGUACUUGGCUUAGUUAGAUUGGAUCUAUAUACAUGCUUAGGAUCGUAUAGCGUUUAUCCAUCGGAUCCAUGGGUAAAUGAUAGAUAUUGUGUAGGCGUGGUGCUUAUACCGUAUUUAUCUGCGAUUGUACCCAAUAUGCCAGAUCGUGGGUUGGUUCGUGAUAGUGACAGCUUCAUUGAUUCUUAUAUAGUCCCCCUCUCGUGUAUUGGGCUGGUAGAGCAACAUUAUUACAGGGGAGUGAUUGCUAUGUUUCUCAUUUACCUUGCUAAUAUCACUAUGCAUGCGCGUAGUCUUGUCUUGCAAUGAUUGCUAAGUAUGCUUGCACUAACUAUGAUAAUGCUAGACUAUAUAGUUGAGAAUAACUCAGGGAAUAUUCUUGUAGUUCGUUCUAAUACCAUGCUAAUGACUUUCUAGAGUAUCUAAUUGAGGUGCUUAUCAUAUUUAUUAUGUGGCUAGAUCAGAUUAGUUAUCCUUGUCACUAUUAUUAUUUCAUAUAUCUUUUAUGUGACACUUAUCCCUGUAUGAAGAGUUAGAUAUAAUGUUCUCAAUUAUACAUGCAAUGAUAGAUGCUCAAUCUCAUAUUCUAUUCUGUAAUCAAUAGUGAUGAUUGCUAAUCCCUUCCCAGUGGUAAAAAUAUAAAUAACGAUACCUGGAAUACUUCCCGGUUAAAAUGCUACAUCGGUAUUAAUCUGUGCGCUUGCAGAUCCCAUUCAUUAUUUAUUUAGAAGAGCAAUUGCAUAUUUCAAUACCGCGCCUCUUAUAUCAUGCUGGGGAUGACAAGUUGGCUUAAGUGGUGUGAGGGAUAGGUUUGGCAUUUUUGGCACCGUUACUGGAUUUAGAGAACUUAGUCUACUUUUGGUAAUGAUGUUAAGAAUACCCAACAAGCAUUUUUGGCGUCGUUGCCGGGGAAGGUUGAUUAAUAAUCAGGAAUGGAAUAAAAGAUUUUGAGUUAUCAUUCGCAUCACUAAUAUGAUUGAGCUUAUCUAUUCUCUCAUACAGUUUUACCCCGAUAUUUUUCUAUUUUAUCUUAUGCAGGGGAAUGUAUGAAUAGAAGACAUCUUCUAGGAAAUUUUGUUGACAAUCCCAAAGCAUUAUUCAAGAAGACGAGAGCCAAGCUCAAGAAGAGAUCAUCAACACUUCAGCAAGAAGCUUCAUCCAAUCAAGAAGAUCACCGGAACUUGUCUUCAGAGUUCGAGGCCAUGGCGAACAAAUCAAUCCGUGAGUUCUCAGCUCCCACUACGGACAACAUCCGCACUGGACCUGCUGCAGAGAUCGAUGGCAACUUUGAGCUCAAGCCUGGACUUAUCAACAUGGUGCAAUCCAACCAGUUCUGUGGGAAGGCACACGAAGAUGCUAGUGCUCAUUUACAACACUUCCUGGAGAUUUGCAACACAUUCACCAUAUCAGGAGUUUCCAAAGAUGCUAUACUACUUCGCCUCUUCCCAUUCUCACUGUUAGGAAGAGCGAAGCAGUGGUUCUACGCUACAAAGGAGAAGAAUACUACGUGGGCACUCUGCUCAACAAACUUCCUAGCAAAGUUCUUUCCCAUGGGCAAGACCAAUGCUCUCCGUGGGAAGAUUACAAGUUUUCAGCAACAAAAUGAUGAAUCUAUUCCAGAAGCAUGGGAGCGCUUUCAAGACUACAUCCUAGAAUGUCCCCAUCAUGGAAUGGAGAGUUGGCUAUUGAUGCAGACGUUUUAUCAUGGGCUCGGCAACAGUGCCCGAGAGACCAUGGAUGCUGCAGCUGGAGGAGCAUUCUUAUCACUUACUAUACCACAAGCCACAGCUCUUGUGGAGAAGAUGGCGUCCAAUCAAAGCUGGAAUGAAGAGAGGACCCAGACACGCAAGAGAGGUGGAGGUAUGCAUCAGCUGAAGGAGGUAGACAUGCUGUCUACAAAGCUAGACCUGCUCAUGAAGAAGCUCGACGAUAAAGCCGGAGACAAGAAAGAAGUUAUGCACAUCUACGACUCUCACAUGACUUGUGAGGAGUGUGGAGACACUGGACACUCAGGCAACCACUGCCCUGAGAUACUUGAGGAUGUGAAUUACAUCAACAACAACAACAACAACUACUACAACCAUCCUCAACAAAAUCAAGGUUGGAAUCAACAGAGGCCUAACUACUCAGGUAAUUAUCAAGGUAACAAUUCUUACAACAAUAAUAAUAAUUUUCCACCUUUGAGAGAGUUAGUGUCUAAUCAAGGAAAGCUAAUGGAUAACCUAUCUAAGAAAUUGGCAUCUAAUGAUAAAAUGCUAGAAAAUAUAAAUAAUAGAAUGGAUAAUUUCUCUACUGCCAUCAAGAAUCAAAUUAGCUUUAAUAAAAUGAUUGAAUCUCAGUUAAAUCAAAUAGCUGCUGCUGUUCCUACUACUAACCUUGGUAUACCAUCACAACCGGAAGGAUUAGAAUCUGCAAAUCUUGUAGACAUGUUUGAUGCAGGUAAUUGGAGUAACCCCGUCACUAAAUUUUCUACUGACCUUCUGCCGGUCAAGAGAGGCGAUCCAGGACGCCCCGUUAUCCCGAUCUCCAUCGGCAUGGUGGACGUUCCAGAAGCACUCUGCGACUUUGGCUCUAGCGUCAACAUUAUACCCAGGGUACUCUAUGAAAAAUUCUUUACAUAUCCUUUAUUAGAGACAACCAUGUGUUUGCAGUUUGCAGAUCAGACGAUAAUUUUUCCAAAAGAAAUAGUGAAGAACCUUUGCGUCCGAGUUGGUACCUUAUAUGCCCCUGCAGACUUCAUAGUGGUAGAGACCGGAAAUGAUGAGAGAGCACCUAUCAUCCUAGGGAGGCCAUUCUUAAACACCACGGGAGCUAUCAUCUACGCUAGUGCUGCCAAGAUCAGUUUCUACGUCAAAGGGAGGAAGGAGACAUUUUUCUUCAAGAACAAGACUACACAAAUUCCAGAUCAAUCCAGACGUAAGUUAAGGAAGAGGACCAACAGGAGGAACAGGAACAAGCAAGUGUGGACCGAGUCAGCUAAGAUGGUCACUGUAGUUCAUGAAGGCCAAGAUCACCAACUUAAGUCACCGCUUUUGACCAAGAAGGACGACCCAGGAAUGCCAAGCAUUUACUGCUCCAUAAAUGGAUACAACUUCUACAAGGCAACUUGUGACACCGGAUCGGGCUUCAACAUAAUGGCCGCAGUCACCUAUCGGCUCUUGUUCGGAACCAUGCCACUAAGACCAACAUACAUUCAGCUCCAGAUGGCAGAUCAGACAUUUCAAGAAGUUAAAGGAAUAGUAACUGAUGUCCCAGUCAAAAUAGAUGAUCACGUUGUCUACACAGACUUUCAGUUUAUUGACAUUGGAGAAGACGAGUAUGAUCCACCCAUCAUCCUUGGAAGACCGUUCCUCAGCACCGUUAAAGCAAUUAUCUAUAUUGGAACCGGAGAAGUCCAUAUGCACUUCCCCUCAGAGAAGGUACGCCGUUAUUUUGGUGACCCUAACUAUAUCAUUGAAGAAUCUAAGCAGGUAAAAAAGCGAAGCAACUGCAACCAGAGGAGGCAGAUCAUCAAGGACGGAUGGGCAGACUAUGAAGGAGAAGUUGUAAGGUCAGAAGACGUAGAGUUUAAACAGAAUUAUUCAGAGGAGAUCGAGGCACCAAGUCAGGUAUGGAAAAUGAAGAUAACUAUACAUGAAGAGGAGGCGCUGCCGGAAGUACCGACUACGCCACCCAACGAACCUCAGGACGAUUAAAGAAAUGGAGAGUCCCGUUCGGAGGACUUUUUAAAAAAAAAACACCGAACGCCUUGCCAAGAGGUAAAAUUGGUAGUUAUCCUUUCCCUUUCAAUUAUUUUAAACAGUUACUUAGUUAAUUAAGUUCAUACUAUCUUAAAAAGAAAAUAAAAAUGUGAAAAACAGUAAGCCCCAUGUGAGUAGACGAGUGGCAUAAAACCCAUAAGUACAUUCACUGUGGUGGCAUAAAAAUAAAAUAAUUAUUUUUCUGCUCUAUAAAAAUAAAAAUAUAAAAACAGGGAGUAAUAUUUAUUAAGGAGUCUCAACAUGAUAAAGGCUAGAUAUUUAUGCUAACACUUAACCAGUUCCACAAGCUUUGUUGUCUAUUUGAACUCCACAGAAUUUAAGAAUCAAGAAGACUGGCAGACAGAGGACAUUCUAAUCGCUGUCAGAAUGCUGCUGACUUUCAAAUACACCUCUGCCACCUGCUAGCUACAUCAAGGAAAAUUACGUCAAAAUUCAGCUUGGGAGAGAGCACCCCCAUUUAUCUCGAUAAGUAUUUCUAUCUAUCUUUAUACUUAUAUUAUUUUAGAAUAUAAAUACACAUAAACUAUGGAAAACCAAAUAAAGAGUUUAUGCUUAUAUAUAUAUGUCUUUUGCUUAGUGUGUUUAAUAAAUAAAUAAAGUGGCUAUGCUAAUCUGUAUCUAAAUAAAACUUAAGCAUGGAUAUGAUGAAUAGUUGCUCUACCUAAUUUGCACAUUUUAAGUUCUCUCUCAAGUUUAGACAUAACUGUUAUAAUUUAAAGCUUGCUCUAGACCUAAACUUGUGGGAUGAAAACUUGAUCUGAAGUCUAAGUUGUUAACGGAUAUGAUAUGGGAAGGUUGAGCUGCUGUUUAUCUGUUCCUAGAGAUGCUAGAAAUUUGGAGAAUUUUAUCUUUGAAAAUCUUUAAAAUGUUGCAUGAUGAGUUUUAUUUGAAAAUCUGGAAAAACCCCAGAGCUAUAGCUGAUCAAGAAUAAGAGACAUGGCACUUGGCUAGACUGUUCUCUCUUUUAACCACUCAAGACAGAAGUGACAGUUACAAGUCCCAUAGUGAAGGUAAAGUAUGUAAGUUUUAAGUCUUGACAGUUUACUCUAACUCAGAGAUGAGAUCUUAUUUAAAAAGCAUGUGUACCGUCAAUUUUUAAAAUAUUGCAACAACUUAUGAUCCAUAGCUGAGUCUAUCCUUGCUCAGGGACGAGCAAGAGGUAAGCUUGGGGGAGUUUGUUGACGGUCCUUAAGUAUCAAAUUUAAUUAUCAAAUAAAUAAAGAAAAGGAUCCAAAUGAAAUCAAGAUCCAAACUUAGGGUUUUAUCUGACAGAAUUCCACGAGUUUUGGUGAUUGUCUAUUUCUGCAGGGGGUUAUCAGGAAAUACGGAAGAAAGGCCCACACGUCGGGAUUACAUAGAGAUAUUAACGUGCCGCGCAAUUAUCUUACAUCUAGAAGACUCCAGAAGCCACGAGACCGAAGCGGAGGCGAAACGGGGCCAGAGGCAGGGCGCCCGCCCUCCUGCCCUGGGCGCCCGCCCCCUCUAGGAGUCCAAUUAGGACUCUGCUUCGUGGGAGAUCUCCACCGACCUAAAGGAUGAAUCUAAACCAUACAAUCUAUGUCGGUUUGAUCCAAUGGCCCAUAUUCACUUGAAGGGACUAUAAAACCAGACCCCCUAGCCCCUGGAGGAGGGAGCCUCUCAACCCUAAUUCAUUGUUCCUCAAGAGAGAAGAAGCCUCUGAUCAAGAUUAGAGCCACCACAUCAAUUAGAUAUCUAGAUUAGCAUAGCUACAUAGGAUUAGAACUAGAAGGAGUCAAUCUUCGAUUGGUUUCCGGAUCUGUCAAGAGGAUUCUUGGUAAUUCUCUAAUUGUGCUUCUAAUUGCUUUCUAAUUAUCUUUGUUCUUCAAUAUUAUGAAUAUGACUUUGUUCUACUUCAAUAUAUUGCUUAUGACUUUGCUCUACUUGCUUAUAUUCAAGAUUAUAUUGUUCUUAGUUUAUCAUAGUUAUGUACUUGGCUUAGUUAGAUUGGAUCUAUAUACAUGCUUAGGAUCGUAUAGCGUUUAUCCAUCGGAUCCAUGGGUAAAUGAUAGAUAUUGUGUAGGCGUGGUGCUUAUACCGUAUUUAUCUGCGAUUGUACCCAAUAUGCCAGAUCGUGGGGUGGUUCGUGAUAGUGACAGCUUCAUUGAUUCUUAUAUAGUCCCCCUCUCAUGUAUUGGGCUGGCAGAGCAACAUUAUUACAGGGGAGUGAUUGCUAUGUUUCUCAUUUACCUUGCUAAUAUCACUAUGCAUGGGCGUAGUCUUGUCUUGCAAUGAUUGCUAAGUAUGCUUGCACUAACUAUGAAAAUGCUAGACUAUAUAGUUGAGAAUAACUUAGGGAAUAUUCUUGUAGUUCGUUCUAAUACCAUGCUAAUGACUUUCUAGAGUAUCUAAUUGAGGUGCUUAUCAUAUUUAUUAUGUGGCUAGAUCAGAUUAGUUAUCCUUGUCACUAUUAUUAUUUCAUAUAUCUUUUAUGUGACACUUAUCCCUGUAUGAAGAGUUAGAUAUAAUGUUCUCAAUUAUACAUGCAAUGAUAGAUGCUCAAUCUCAUUUUCUAUUCUGUAAUCAAUAGUGAUGAUUGCUAAUGCCUUCCCAGUGGUAAAAAUAUAAAUAACGAUACCUGGAAUACUUCCCGGUUAAAAUGCUACAUCGGUAUUAAUCUGUGCGCUUGCAGAUCCCAUUCAUUAUUUAUUUAGAAGAGCAAUUGCAUAUUUCAAUACCGCGUCUCUUAUAUCAUGCUGGGGAUGACAACUUGGCUUAAGUGGUGUGAGGGAUAGGUUUGGCAUUUUUGGCACCGUUACUAGAUUUAGAGAACUUAGUCUACUUUUGGUAAUGAUGUUAAGAAUACCCAACACCCGCCCAGGGUUAGAGUCCAAUUAGGACUCUGUUGACGGUCCUUAAUGCUCACAUUUAACCAUCAACUAAUCAUAGAAAAGCAUCCAAAUGCAACCAACACCUAGACUUAGGGUUUUAUCUGACAGAAUUCCACAAGUUUUGGUGUUUGUCUAUUUCUGCAGGGGGUUAUGAAGAAAUAAGAAAGAAAGGCCCACACGUUGGGUUUACGUAGAGAUAUUAACAUGCCGCGCAAUUUUCUACCAUCUAGAAGACUCCAGAAGCCACGGGAACGAACGGGACGCCGAUCGGGCUCGGAGGCAGGGCGUCCGCCCAACUCUCCUGGGCGCCCGCCCAGCUACAGUGUCCAAUUCGGACCCGUUUCGCGUAUUAUGCUCCACCGACCUAAAGGAUCAAGGAAAACCACACGAUCAAUGUCGGUUUGAUGCGACGGCCCAGAUUCACUUGAAGGGACUAUAAAACCAGACCCCCUGGCCCCUGGAGAGCAUACCUCUUCUACAGAAUCAAAGCUAGGGUUUCAAUUCUUCAUCCAAGUAGAGAGGAUCCCUCUAGUUCUUCUAGUUCUACCUCUAGUUCAUCUAGAUCUAGUUCUAGUUCUAGUUCCUCUAGUUCUAGUUCUAGUUCUAGUUAGUUCUAGUUGUAAUCUAGAAAAUAGGGAGAGAGAAGAGGAGAGCGGAGGAGGAGCCGGAUCUGUCGGAUCUUCCUCAACAUUGUACUUUUGCAGCAUCUGGUUCGUUCUUCAUCGUUCUCCAGGUUCUUCAAUUCAUAACUCCUGAGUUCUCUAAUUACUUUUAUUUACAUUCAAGUUAUUUAUUGGAUUCCCGCUUGCAUCAAGUGCUCUAAUCUUUAAAACAUUAGAGUAGUAAUUAAUAGAUUAGACGUGGUGUUUAGUCUUGCAAUUACCUGGAAUUGCACCCAAUCCUGCGGAUUGUUGUGGUAGCCUUAGGGUAGUGACAGCCCUAACGGUCGACGUAUUCCACCUCGUUCGGAUCCUUGUUUGUAGGACCGUAGUCGGAGCUUCCUAGCCCCCUUCUCAUCUCUUUCUGUGGUUAGUGUUCUGAUGUCCCGAUAUAGAUAAUCUUGAAGUAAUUCUUGAUUCUUAGAUCAACUAGAGAACUCUCAGGAAACUUCCUCUCUUCCCACCAAAAAUAAUCAUAAAGUUAUCCUUGGGCGAUCUUGGAUCUUAAUUAGUACACUCACGUUCCCUGUGGAAAAUCGAUACUCUGGAAUACUCCCGGGUGAAGGCUACAUCGGUAUCCGUGCGCUUGCGGAUUUUUUUGUUUGCGUUUAAAAUACCCAACAAGCUUUCUGGCGCCGUUGCCGGGGAACGGUAGCUGUGCUAGUUUCGAACCAAGUCGUCCGUGUAUCCUUUUUCUUUUCCUUUUUUACCACAUUCACCUUACCAUUUUCACCACACCACAUGGAUUUCACUCUAAGCAUUAAUGAGCAUGGAAUUUAUUUCAUAGCCACUUCAUUUACUCCAUGCUCAUAUGCAACAUCUUCACAAUCCAUUGGUCUCUCCAACAUCACCACUUUCGAGAUCUCCAACCCCCUCAUCCUUUCUAUUUAUAAAAACUUUAAAAGGGCGGUUGUCGAUGCAUAUGUCUAUAAGAAAUAUUGCAGAUCUUGUUGAGUUGAUCUUGAUAUAGGUCAGCGUUGGAGGGGAAACCACUUCGUUGACAUAAAUUAAUGGUUUCCCAAGGACAAGCUUAGUGUCCUAAAAUAAGCACUGAUCAGAUCGUAACAUGAGCUUUUAAUUAUUUGCAACAUUACCUUGUGUAUCGAGCAUAUAAGGAUAAUUGUAAAAAUAUUCCUUCGGGUAUUCUUGUCACUAACCUUUCCAGGAUUGGAGCAAGAAGAUCGGAUGAAUGACAAGCACAAGGUAUGUCCAACCAAUCAUCAUACAACAUUGAAUUAAAUUCAUCCAAACUUGAAUUUUGCAAAAUUCAAGCUUGGGGGAGUACUUUACAUAAAAACAUCCUUUGCCAUGUUGCUAUGUUGGUUGUCCCUACCUUUGAGACAUGCUCAAUUUGUUAAAUACUAAUCACACUACUUCAUCUCCACUUGAGUAGAACUCUAUAAAUGCUCUCAUGCUACCUUUAUUUGCUUUAGUAUAUGUCUAGGUUUGGAGUAGUUUCUUUUAUCUCUUAAUUAAGCAUGGUGCUUAGUUUAGGGCUGAUGAUCUUACUUCCAAGGGAGUUUAAAUUAAGCAUGAUGCUUAGGUUAAAAUGCCCUCCUAAAUCAAAUUAGACAUGGUGUCUAGGUUGAUUUUUGAGCUGAUAGUAUGCUAUAGUAGAUAUUGUAUAUUUUGUUGGACUAACCCCUGCAGGAAAACUUUCAAUAUCGACUUGGGAAGUCCUGAGAUAAACUCACAUUGGAGAUAAAGAGAGAGACACAUGAAGUUUAACAAUUUACACAAGGAAGGCAUAGCUCACAAGAGAUGAUCCAUGGAGGGUGCCACAAACACGAUGCACAACCGCUAAGAAAGGAAAGCUUCCACAAGGAGAUACCGUACCAUCACUCUUCAAGUAAGGUAACAUCUUAAGGUACUUGACUAUCACUUUUAUAAGCUUCUCCUUGGUUCUUCCGUUCACAUGAAUAAAAGAGACAAACAUGUAUGAUUUACAACUCUAGAUUAACCAACCCAGUCGAUUCAACAUGUUUAGUACUUCCACCUUUGUGAUCCCACACUCCUAAUCACAUAAGCUAAAAUGUUACACACUCAAUCUUUGGAAGAGAUAUAAACAAAACAUAUAUAUAGAUAGAUUAUCUUUCCAUAAGGUUGAGCAAUCUGAUCUGACAAAUGUUUUAAAUGCUACACUCAUGAUCUUAUUAUCCAUCAACUUUGUCUUGCUCACUAUGCUUAAGGUUAGAGAGAACAAAUACACUUUUGGUUAUGUUGGUGUUUUCCACCAACAGAGCCCAUGCACUUGAUCUUUGCCUUGUCUCUAUGAGCAGGUACACUUCGAGCAGCAUAUGAAGGACUUUUACAACUCCCAGACUCCACCAAGUGAAGAACCUAGAUCUACGAGCACAAACACACUGGAGAGACUGGAUACUCAGGCAAUCACUGCCCUGAGAUGCUUGAGGACAUAACUACUGGAGUAACCAAUGGAAGUAAUUACUGACCUUCUGCCGGUCAAGAGAAGCCAUCCAGGACGCACCGUCAUCCCGAUCUCCAUCAGCAUGGUGGACUUCCUAGAAAUCGUACGCUAAGUUUCCCAAAGGGAAUAUUGAAGAACCUCUACGUCCGAGUUGGUACCUUAUACGCUCCAGCAGACUUCAUGGUGAUAGAGACUGAUACUGAUGAGAGGGCACCCAUCAUCCUAGAGAGGCCAUUCCUGAACACCUCGGGAGCUGUCAUCUACGCUAGUGCUGCCAAGAUCAGUUUCUACAUCAAGGGAAGGACGGAGACGUUUUCCUUCAAGAACAAGACUACACAAAUUUUAGAGCAAUCCUGACAUGAACCAAGGAAGGACCAACAGGAGGAACAGGAACAAGCAAAUGUGGACCAAGUCAGCUAAGAUGGUCACUGCGGUUCAAGGAGGUCAAGAUUGUCGAGUUAAGUCUCCGUUCCUGACCAAAAAGGACAACCCAGUCACCUAUCAGCUCCUAUUCAGAACCAUGCCCCUAAAACCAACAUACAUUCAGCUCCAGAUGAUUUGAAGGUUAUUGACAUGGGAGAAGACGAGUACAAUCCACCCGUCAUCCUUGGAAGACCGUUCCUCAGCACCGUUAAAGCAAUCAUCUACAUUGGAACCGGAGAAGUCCACAUGAACUUCCCCUCUGAGAAGGUACGCCUCUAUUUUACUGACCCUAACUAUAUAGUUGAAGAUUCUAAGCAAGUCAGGACAAGAACAAGACGACGCAACCGUAACCAGAGGAGGCAAAUCAUCAAGGACGGAUGGGUAGACUAUGAAGGAGAAGUUGUAAGGCCUGAAGACAUAUGACUUGAACAGAACUGUCCUGAGAACACUACAAGAAAUGUGUGGCUUUUUAACGUUUUUAAUAUGACAAUGGUCAUAAUGUCACUACAUCAUCCAUUUUGUGACAUUAUAAUCUAGGCGCUAUGACUUAGUGACAAUAAAAAGUUGUAUGUCACAACAAAUGUCAUUUAACAAGUCAAAUUCCAUCUAGUGACAAUAUUUUUGUGUCAUAAUGCUUGUUUAUGUGUCACAAAUUAUUUUAUUAAAAUUUUUAAAAUAAAUUGUGCAUGUUGAUGUCGGGUGUCUAACAUUGUUGGACUAUACAUUAUUCAUAAAUAGGUAAAAUCUCUCACAUGUCUCAUAUAUAGUUAUAUAACUAUGUGAGAGAUGUAUCCAUUCGUAAACAAUAUACUGUCUCAUUUUGUCAAAAUGAUUUAAAACAAUUUAUUUUUCAUCUAAUUUUAGGAUGUAAUCUCAAAUAUAACAUGUCUUCUUACAUAUUUUUUUCUAAUUUUUGGACAUUGUUAGAUACGAAGUUGUAGUGAUUUUCCAAAUGCACGUAGGUAUUUAUUUAAACAAUAGAAAAUAGUAAAUUGGUUCUUAAAUUUGUGAAACUACUACAAAGAGACAUAUAUGUAGUCUAUUUUAUUUAAAAAGUAUUUUUAGUACAUGAAUAUAAUUGGAUUAGAGUAUUUACUUCACAAGAGUAUAUAAUAAUCAAAUAGUGCUUAUAAAUAAAUCAAAAAAGAAUGAAAUACAUAUAAUUGUCCAUGCCCAGUAUGCAGCCCAGAAAAUAAAGCCCAUGUCGAGUGCAGCCAACCCACUGGAGCCCAAAUCAAACACCGCCUCAUGCUUGACCGUUAGAUUGAAAGGAACGAUCAAGAUGCAUCAAGCGUUGGAUAUAACACUCCCCAGAAACCCUCUCAGCCACCGAGCCUCUCUUCCCCGUUCUCCCCUCCGCAUCCCAGUCCACAUCGUGCUCCUGCUAGGGUUAGCGCAGGUGAGUAGCAGUGGCAUGGGGCCAUGGGUCCCCGUGGGUCGGCGUGCGGAGCAAUGAAGGCCGCUGUGCAGCGGCGAGCGACGGUGGAGCAGGGCAGUUGAGCCAAGGGAGGAGGAGCGGCUGCAGACGUAUCUCGUCAGUCGUCACCAGGACCACGGAGCUGCCGCCCAGGUGGGACGGCCCAUGCGCGACCAACAUGCUCAUCGACAAGCCUAAAGGUGAUGCCUUUCCCCUCCCCUUUGGUACAUUGCAGGUUCUGGGAUUCUCAUCAAAAUGUAUCAUCGGCAAUAUUAGAUUGUCGUAUGUGAGAUUAAGACAGCAGCAGUAUUUUAGAUACUUUUAUCUGAAGCAGCACAGGAAAAUUCCUUUUCUGAAAUGUGAGCGAUUUGCGUAGCAAUUAGAUGCCAGUCAGACAGUGUGGCACUACUGCAGCUUUGCCUCAGGAUAGGGUUCUGCAUUGCGUUUCCUAUCAGGCCAGAUAUAGUAGUAAUUAGUUAAUGUGCAGACAGGAUUAGGUUUGAGCAGUGUUCUAUCUGACCACGCAUUUGCAGUUACUCUGGAAGCUCAGCAAAACGAUUGACUGCUUAUUAUGUCGCUGACUGAAUUUUUUUGUUGCUUUCUCUGUAUUUGUGUGUCACAAAAAGCCUAAAGUAUAAAGGUAGCCAUGCCAACACUAACAAGUUCUAGAGGACAGCCAUUCAGCCCACUCUAGCAGGUUAAGGAUGUUUCUAAUUGUUUAGUAUAAACUUUAUUUAGUUAAAUCAUCAAAACUUCUGUCUUGUAUCAAUAUUUUGUUUCGCUGUGCACUCAUUCAACUCUUAAAUUGAAAUUUGCAGCAAUACUUCAAGGUGGUAAUUUCCUUGGUUCAGUCCAAGAGGAAAUUGGUAAGUUCUCACAAAUUAAUAAAAUGUAUGUCUUUGUAUAUUUUUAAUUUUAUUGCUAGAUGUUCUUGUAAAUUUCAUUGUGUUGGAUCUAUACAUGAGAGGGAGAAGAGAGGUUUGUGCAAGAGGAAAAAUGUUACUUUUGACUUUCCCUGUGUGGUUCAGCUGACUCUCAGGUGCGUUUCACAUAGUUAAUAAAAUUGUUUAGUAGUUGGUGCCUUAUGGCCGUGUUCUUAGUUAUUUAGUUGGUUUGCUUGCUAUGCUUGUUUUCGUUUAUGCUAUACUACCAGUAAGCAUCUCGAAUUGCUGAUUGAUGUUGUCUCAACUUUGGACAAGCAGCUCCCUUGAAAGGUCAGCUUGAUAACCCAGUUUAUAGUGCAAUAACCUGGUUUCAGAGAUGUCAUUCUGUUAUUCCUAGUUCAUUUAAUGUGUUCAAGGCACAAUGAUAUGAUAGUCUUCAUGGCACAAGUGUGACGUCUUAGGGUAAGCAAAAUUAUUUUGAUGAUCUUAGGGGUAGGGAUUUGGGACGAAAUUUGGAAAAACUUUUGAUUUAGGGUUCGGAUUUUGGGAUUUUGGGGAAGAACAGGAUCUUUGAGAUCAAGACUGAUUUGACUUCCCUUCCUAUACAUCUACAUGUAGGUUAUUUUGCUUUCCUGUUCUAUUUAGAGAGUAUAUGUUUUAUCAUAUGCUAAGGUAAAUCUUUAUUAUAUAUGAUGCGCUUGUGUUGGCAUGCUUAGAUCGUAUCCAUAAUUUAGAGAGCAUAUGUUAGUCAUAGCAACGUACAUAUGAUUCCAUUCUCAUUUGUCUACAGGGAGGAAAUUGUGAGGCCAAAUGCAAUUAGUUUUUCUGCGCGACUACAGCAACCACUGAAUUCCGUAGGGUGAGUGAAGCUUCCUUUCUUCAAUUACCUUUUGCCAUAAGGACUACUCUAAACUUUGGUGUCUAUAUGAUGCAAUGUCCUGUUCUAUUUUCCAAUACUAGUGUUUUUUUGUUGUCUAAAAAUAUAUCUUUGCUUAACAGGUAUCUUUUGAUCUUUAAAAUUGAUACUGCAAUUUCUGAUACAGUGUGGGAUGGAGCAUUAUGGUUCUGAAUCCCAUCUGUAGUUGCUAAUGAUAAAACCUAUACUCUUGUGCUAUUCAUAUGAGAAUGUUUAUCCCUACUCUAGUUCUACAGAGAAUUUGGCUAUGAUUGCAUAACUGUUUUUGUGUUCUGGAUACAACCAUUACGUUAUUGUAGUUUGCUCCCAUUGCAGUUAAAAACCAACAGUUUAGCUGCUCAUCCAUGUCAACAAGCACGAAGGUAAUUUAUGACUUAGUUUAAGACUAGAUCUAAUUCGUGACUGAAUUUUAGAUGCAGUACCUGGUUAUUGGCAGGUGGAGAUUGCACAUGCCUAUGAGAAGAAUAGCGUGGCCUGCUUCAGCAUCUGAUCGAUGAGAAGCACUUCCAGCGGACCUUUGAGAUGAGAACUAGUAUUGUAAAAGUGCUCAUGGUGGCUAUUUUUGAACAAUUUUGUUAUGCAAGCAAAUCAUAUGAGUUGUAUUAUGCAAGCUACCCUCUUAGUUUUGUAGCUACUUGUGUGUAGCUUGCUUAUUGCCUUUGUAUUUUCUACGAAAAGUUGUACAAGUACAAAUGUUGAUGGUUUCAAUGAAAAAGAUGACCAAUAUUUUGUCAAUUGUGAGCUUUCUUCCAAUUUAUAUGUAUUUCAUGAGCGUGCCACAAACACAUGGGCAUGAAUAAUGGGCCAUAAACAGCAUACUGACGUGUAACAGAAUUAUGAUGGUUGAGACAUUUUUUGUAGUGUUUGUGACAUUUUUUUUCCUGCCAUGUCAGCUGCCACGUAGCAAGACCUACGAUUUUAUGACAAUAAAUCAAUGUCAUAUGCUUGUGACAUGAACCAAACAAAUGUCACAUAAUCAUUUUAUGACGCGGGCUUUUCCACGUUUUGAUUUUUGUCAACUUGAUGUCACAAAUCUUAAUUUGUAACAUAAAUUUCAUAUAUUGUGACAUAACUAAACGUUAAAAAGCCAUGUGUUUCUUUUAGUGGAAGACCGUAGCACCGAGGCAGGUGUGAAGAAAGAAGACAGUUAUACAUGAAGAGUACGUGCCGCCGGAACCACCGACUACGCCAUCCAGCAAAUCCCAGGACGACUGAGAAAACGGAGAGUCCCGUUCGGAGGACUUAAAAGCACCGAACGCCUUCCCAAGAGGUAAACUUGGUAGUUAUCUUUUUCCUUUCAAUUAUUUAAAAUAGUUUACAUAGUUAAUCAGGUUCAUAUCAUCUUGAAAAGAAAAUAAAAAUGUUAAAAAUAGUAAGCCCCAUGUGAGUAUGCUCAUGGCAUAAAACCCAUAAGUACAUUCACUGUGGUGGCGUAAAAAUAAAAUAAAUAUAUUCAUGUCCUAUAAAAAUGAAAAUAUAAAAAUAAAUUUAUGAUCCUACUAAAGAGAGUAACAUUUAUUGAGGAGGCUCAACAUGAUAAAGGUUAGAUACUUAUGCUAACACUUAACUAGUUUCAUAAAGCUUUGUUGUCUAUUUGAGCUCCACAGAAUUCAAUGAUCAAAGAAGACUAGCUGACGGAGGACAUCCUAAUCACCGUCAGGAUGCUGCUGACAUUCAAAUACAUCUCCGCCACCUGCUAGCUACAUCAGAAGAAAUUGCGUCAAAAUCCAGCUUGGGGGAGAGCACCCCCAUUUAUCCAGCUAAGUAUUCUACUCACGUUUAUACUUUACUCUAAUAAUAAAAAGAUGCAUAAUCAUAUAAACCCAAAUAAAGAUUUUGUGCUUAUAUAUAUAUCUUUGCUUAGUUUGCUAAAUAAAUAAAUAAAUAAAGUUUGCUAUGAACCCUCAUGAUAAUCUCUCAUAUGGAAAUGAUGAAUAGUUGCUCUACCAUGACUAGUUCUCAAAAUUGAAAUCUGUCUCAAGUUUAGGCAUGACUGUUAUUAAUUAAGAUUUGCUCUAAACCUGAACUUGUGGGAAGAGUACUUGAUCUAAAGUCUAAGUUGUUAACGGAUAUGAUAUGGGAAGGUUGAGCUGUUGUUUAUCUGUUCCUAGAGAUGCUAGAAUUCUGGAGAAUUUUAUCUUUGAAAAUCUUUAAAAUGUUGCAUGAUGAGUUCCUGUAUGAUGAGAGUUUAAAUUCCUACCACAGCCAUAUAUACAUGCUUGCUAGACUUUGAGCCACACAUUUAUUUUUUUUAUUGCUUAUGAGCAUUGAGUGUGGUCAAGCUUUGUAGACCCUUAGGAGCUUGUCAUGUGGUUAAAUCAAGGUUCACUUGCACGUUCACUCACACAUGCUGCUUCUACUCCGGAAGUAUGCAUCCACAUAUAUCCAUCCAUUUCCAUCUCCAGAACCACCUAAAAAUAUUCUACUCCUAAUCCGGGAGAGAAUAGCCAAAAAUAUUUCUGUUUUCCCCUGUGAAAUAAAUGCUCAAGUUAUCUCGUUACUACCACUUGCUAUAUUAUCUCAUGAAAUGAGUGCUCUAAAAAAAAGAAACAAAAAAAGAGAAGAUGCGAGGAAAUAAAAAGGGGCAAGUGCCCGGAACCUCAAAAAAAAAGUGAGACGAGAGGUAAAGAUGGACAAGUGUCUGACAGUAGAAUUAGGGGUACAAGAUACCCACCUGAGAGAAAAGGAAAAGAAAAUAUAGAGCAUCUCAUUCUCCUCAAAAGUUUCAAAAGAGCAAGGAAGGUAUGUAUCCCCUCAAAAGAGCAAAAGUAGAAUUAGACUUUCACCAUUCUUAUCACCAUCAUUACCAUGCAUCAUUCAUUCGCCACACAUACACAUCUUGAUUUGACUUAUUGAUUUGUUCUUCUGGAUCCAUGGUUUGACUAUGCAAUAAAUGUCUUGUAAGUAUGUAUUAGCUGUCUCCCACCUAUGAGCUCCAGAUAUCAAAACCUUAUUAGAGUAGGGUGAGAGAGAAGGCAAUGCCACUAUGCCCCAUACCAAAAAUACUACAUACUUUGAGAGAAGGCAUAUACCAUUACUGCCUUGGUAAGGAUCAAGAAAUACCACAAAAGAGAGAUUUGAGAGAGUCAUACAAGGAAUCUCUGAGUUUUAUUUGAAAAUCUGCAAAAACCCCAGAGCUAUAGCUGAUCAAGAAUAAGAGACAUGCCACUUGACUAGACCGUUCUAUCUUUUAACUGCUCAAGACACAAGUGACGGUUGCAAGCCCCAUAAUGGAAGGUACAAUGGGUAAGUUUAAAUCUUAACAGUUUACCCUAACCCAGAGAUGAGAUCUUGUUUGAACCCAUGUUCAUCUUUAAGGUAUGAAACCACUGCAGAAACUCUUGAGUUCAUCUUUGCUCAGGGACGAGCAAAGGUUAAGCUUGGGGGAGCUUGUUGACGGUCCUUAAUACUCACAUUGAACCAUCAACUAAUCAUAGAAAAGGAUCCAAAUGCAACCAACACCUAGACUUAGGGUUUUAUCUGAUAGAAUUCCACAAGUUUUGGUGUUUGUUUAUUUCUGCAGGGGGUUAUCAGGAAAUAAGGAAGAAAGGCCCACACGUUGGGUUUACGUAGAGAUAUUAACAUGCUGCGCAAUUUUCUACCAUCUAGAAGACUCCAGAAGCCACGGGAACGAACGGGAGGCCGAUCGGGCUCGGAGGCAGGGCGCCCGCCCAACUCUCCUGGGCGCCCGCCCAGCUACAGUGUCCAAUUCGGACCCGUUUCGCGUAUUAUGCUCCACCGACCUAAAGGAUCAAGGAAAACCACACGAUCAAUGUCGGUUUGAUCCGACGGCCCAGAUUCACUUGAAGGGACUAUAAAACCAGACCCCCCUGGCCCCUGGAGAGCAUACCUCUUCUACAGAAUCAAAGCUAGGGUUUCAAUUCUUCAUCCAAGUAGAGAGGAUCCCUCUAGUUCUUCUAGUUCUACCUCUAGUUCAUCUAGAUCUAGUUCUAGUUCCUCUAGUUCUAGUUCUAGUUAGUUCUAGUUGUAAUCUAGAAAAUAGGGAGAGAGAAGAGGAGAGCGGAGGAGGAGCCGGAUCUGUCGGAUCUUCCUCAACAUUGUACUUUUGCAGCAUCUAGUUCGUUCUUCAUCGUUCUCCAGGUUCUUCAAUUCAUAACUCCUGAGUUCUCUAAUUACUUUUAUUUACAUUCAAGUUAUUUAUUGGAUUUCCGCUUGCAUCAAGUGCUCUAAUCUUUGAAACAUUAGAGUAGUAAUUAAUAGAUUAGACGUGGUGUUUAGUUGUGCAAUUACCUGGAAUUGCACCCAAUCCUGCGGAUUGUUGUGGUAGCCUUUGGGUAGUGACAGCCCUAACGGUCGACGUAUUCCACCUUGUUCGGAUCGGUGUUUGUAGGACCGUAGUCGGAGCUUCCUAGCCCCCUUCUCAUCUCUUUCUGUGGUUAGUGUUCUGAUGUCCCGAUAUAGAUAAUCUUGAAGUAAUUCUUGAUUCUUAGAUCAACUAGAGAACUCUCAGGAAACUUCCUCUCUUCCCACCAAAAAUAAUCAUAAAGUUAUCCUUGGGCGAUCUUGGAUCUUAAUUAGUACACUCACGUUCCCUGUGGAAAAUCGAUACUCUGGAAUACUCCCGGCUGAAGGCUACAUCGGUAUCCGUGCGCUUGCGGAUUUUUCUGUUUGCGUUUAAAAUACCCAACAGACUCUCUUUCGAGACUAAACUCCACCGACCUAAUGGAUGAAUCUAAACCAUACAAUCAAUGUCGGUUUUAUCCAACGGCCCAAAUUCACUUGAAAGGACUAUAUAACCACGGCCUCUACACCCCUAGAAGAGAGGAGAAGAGAAGAAAUCAUUAUUCAGAGGUAGCCAUCACAGUUAGGGUUUAGAGCUUCUCUCCCACCGAGAAUUAGAAUUUCCUACUCCCUAAUCCUUCAAGUUUAGAGGUUUGAUUAGAUAGCAAUUAGAGAAGUAGAGCACUACGCUCUGUAUUCGGAUCUUCGGUAAUAAAGUUUGGUAUUAUUCAUAUCUUUCUCUAAUACUUUGUUCUAAUUACAUUAUGUCUUUAUUUAUUAUGUUCUUAGUUUGCUCUAGUUCUAUAUUUGAUAUAGUUAUGAUUGAUAAUGAGUUUAUGUAUAAGUUUGCAAAGCGCUUAGCUCUUGACGCGAGGGAGUUAAGUGGUAGAUCACAUAUGGGCGUGGUGCUUAGAUGUUAUUUACCUACAAAUGUAUCCUAUUGGCCGGGUCGUGUGGUAGUUCGCGAUAGUGACAGCUUCGUUGAUUCUUAUAUAGUCCACCCUCCGUUGAUAGGACAGGCAGAACUUGUAUUGCGGAGUAAGUCUUGCGAUGUUCUGAUUUACUUUAGCAAUGUUCCUUAUACAUGAAUGAAGAGUCUUUUAUGCUAUAUAUGAUCUUGUAGAUAACUAGAGUAGAUUAUGACUUAGUAGAUAGUAGAUAACUGAAUCCAUUCUCUAGCUAAUCCGACGUCACCUACAUAUAUGAGGAGUAGUCUAUUUUCUAAUCGCUGUGUUAUUUACCCUUGAACUUAUAAUUCAUUAUCAUUAUCUUUAUGGUUUACCCCCUGCCAAAGUAAGUGAUAGUGUGACGAGUUUCUCAUUAGUAAUCAUGUUCUUGCCAGUUUAUCUCUAGUCUAUGCCUUGAUAGAUUUUGCCCUUAUUUUAAUUUCAUCCCUUUUGUUCUCUUAAGCAAAAUUAUAAAUAACGAUACCUGGAAUACUUAUCCUGGUGAAAUGCUACAAUGAGGUGUUUUAUCUGUGCGCUUGUGAAUAGAAUAGAUUAUUUUUUAGAAAGCCUUUAUAUUUAUAAAUACCUUUGUACACUCUGGCACCAUGCUGGGGAUGACAACCUAGUAUCUAAGUGGUGUUAGCUAGUGUCAACAAGCAUUUCUAGCGCCGUUGCCGGGGAACAAAAGGGUAACACAUAGGAACGGUAAGGAAAGUCAGGAAAUCAGUCAAGGUUAUUCACAUAAAAUAUUAGACUAGACUAUAGAGAAAUAAUUGCAUAAAAUAGCUACUAAGUGAGAAAUCAUAACAAGGCACCUCUGCUUUGGCAGGUUCACCCUGUUGUUUUUCUAUGUUUAUAUUUUUAUACAGGGUACAUCAGGAUUGACUUUGGGUACAUUCAACUCUUCAUCAUCAGAACCAAAGCAAUCAAGAAAGAAAGAAGAAGCUAGCUACCAAUUGUUGAAGCUAUGGCACAGAAGACCCUACAAGAAUUCUCUGCUCCAAGUGUUGAGAACAUUCCAACUGGUCCAAGAUUUGCAGUAGAAGAAGGAGCACCUGAGUUCGAGCUCAAGUCAAGCCUCAUCAAUUUGGUACAAGCUACACAAUUCAGUGGAAAGGCACAUGAAGAUGCUAGUGCACACUUGCAGAAUUUCUUAGAGAUUGGAAGCACAAUCCACAUCAACGGAGUUGACAAAGACGUCAUACUGCUUCGCCUUUUUCUAUUCUCACUAGAAGGGAAAGCAAGGAAGUGGUUCUACACUCAUCAAGAUAACAUCAACAACUGGACAAACUUGUCAGAUGUCUUUCUAUCAAAGUUUUUCCCUAUAGGCAAAACAACUGCCUUAAGAAGAAAUAUUGUCAGUUUCCAACAGCAGAAGAUAGAAGCCAUUUUAGAAGCAUGGGAGCGUUUUCAAGGAUACAUUUCAGAUUGUCCUCACCAUGGAAUGGCCACAUGGUUACUUAUGCAGACCUUCUACCAUGGAUUAACCCAGAAGGCUCGUGAGUGCCUAGAUGCAUCUGCUAAAGGGGAGCUUACAACUGGAAAAGCAAAGAUACUUUUGGAUAAGAUAGCAGAAAACCAAAGCUAGUUCCAAGAUGAGGCUCAACAAUGUCAUCAAACUGAAGAAAUACCAAAAGAAGUAAAUGCAUUAUCAACUAAAAUGGAAAAUUUGCUCCAUUGGAUUGACCAGAGGACCAAGUUCAAAGAAGAUCAAAGGGCCAUAGAGACAUCAUACAAAUAUCAAACCACUUCAAGUCAACCCAAUAGCAAAGGUAUGAAUUCAGGUAAUACUUUCAAGCAACUUUCAUUAAAAGAGAUAAUUGCUCAACAAACUAAAAUUAAUGACAAAGUUAAACAAAGGCUAGAUGCAAAUGAAUCAUCUCUAAAAGAUAUACACAAUAAAAUGGAUUUUCUACUAACUGCCUUUGAUGAGCAAUUAAUAAGAGGGUAGAGCUUAAAUUAAUAAAGCUAGCUGCUGCACUGCCUGUUGCUACUAACAUUGAGCAGGUAAAGAACAUAACUACUAGAGGAGGCAAAGCCACUAGAGAUCCCCCAUACCCAAAAGAGAAACAAAUAACAUCAGCACCAUUGCAACUAGCAGUGACAGAAGAAGAAAGCCCAGUUGAAGCAGAAGAUAUGCUACAACCACCAAGAACUAGAGAAAUGAGGAAAGAUUUUUAUGACACCAACUAUUUGCCAUUUCCCAGAAGAAACAGAGGACUGCAGUCGGAUGAGCAGUUUGGUAAGUUUGUAGAGGUCAUUCAGAAAUUAUAUGUCAACAUACCUCUACUUGAUGCGAUACAGGUACCCACAUAUGCAAAGUACAUCAGAGAUAUUCUUAACAAGAAGAGACCACUCCCACCACUGAGGUUAUCCAGCUGACAGAAGAAUGUAGUGCGGCCAUCCUCAAUAAACCACCAAAGAAGAAGGAAGAUCCCGGAUGUCCCACUAUUGAUUGCUCAAUCGGAAACCAACACUUCAACAAUGCACUUUGUGAUCUCGGAGCAAGUGUCAGUGUGAUGCCAGCAUCAGUUUACAAAAAAUUUGAGCAUACGACCCUAGAACCAACAUCAAUGUGCCUGCAACUAGCGGAUCAAUCGGUUCGACACCCGUUGGGUAUCGCCGAGAACAUUCCAGUCAAGAUCAAAGAUUUUCUUGUGCCAGUAGACUUCGUAGUACUGGACAUGAGUCCUGACUCAAAAGUGUCCAUCAUCCUUAGAAGGCCAUUUCUGAGCACUCCCAAUGCCCACAUUGAUGUCGGGAAGGGAGAAAUCAAGUUCAACAUAAACGGACAAGAAGAACACUUCACAUUCAAACCCAGACCAGAGAGAGAUCCUACAGUGAAGGAAGUUCAUGAAGAACCACUGGAGACACCAUCUCCGGAGGAAGGUAAUUCAGAAGAUUAAAAGAUUUGGAGGUCCAGCUUGGGGAACCUAAAAAAUCCCAAACCCUCACCGGAAGGUAAAUCGGUAUUUAUCCGCAUCGUUAAUUCUUGCAUAAUUUAUUCUUGCAUUAGUCAUAUUUAUUCAUAGCAUUAUUAUAAUAAUAAAAAGCCCCAUAUAAAUAAUAUUCAUGGUGUGUAACAACCCAUAUUUAUUAACUAUUGUGGAGGCACAAAAAUAUUUCUCAUUUUGAUUUCAAUAAGUUUUAAUUCUCAAAGAUUUUUCUGCAUUAUAUUUAAUUAUAGUAACCUUCUAGAAGCAUGACCUACACUCCUUGGGUCCCACAUGUCAUACACCACACCUCACAUACAUCUCAUCACAUUAUUUGAUCCACCAACAUAUCUCCACUAACCAACACUUUUCCACUGGCCAACCACCACCCAUGAUCCAUUAUUUUGCGUGAGAGUUAAGCAAAGGAGGGAGUGGAGAAAGGGCAGCCAGGAUGGGCACCACAAGUGGGCGCCCACCCACCUACAGAGGGCGCCCACCCUGUCCCCUCUUCCUCCUAUAAAUAGCCACCUUCUACCUCCAUCCUCUCCACACAAGCACUCCAGAAAACCACACAAGUUUCAGUUUCCAGAGAAGGAGCUCUUGUAGUGAAGUGAGAAGAUAGUAGAGAAGAAGAGAAGAGUGGAAAAGAACUUGGUAGUUUUUGAGUGAGAGAGUGAGCUUCACCUAGUAAGUAGUGAUCCCGCUGUCCAAGCGGAAGUAAAAGUUGUUUAGGGGGAGGUUCUGCCAAAAUAGAAACUUGUCUUGAAUGACUAACCCCUGGACUACUGACAUCCCGGAUAGCUGACCACUAACAUUUUCUCUCACAUUUUCCACUAGUUGUGUUUUUGCCAACUUUGUUUACAGGAUGUUUAAGAAGGUGAAGAACGCAGGGAAGGCUCUCAAGAACAUUGGUACAAGGAGUUCAUCCCGACACUCCUCACACCCAUCAGAGAUGAGCGUCGACCCAACGCCUGCACAAGCUCCGUCAUCUUCAUCUAAUCAGCAAGUCAACGUCCUUCUCAAGAUAGGAGACCUUGGAGUAAAGACCCGAAGGGACAAGGAAGUCUAUCAGCAACUGAAGAACAAAGAUUUCAUUCACACGCCUACUCUUGAUCCAAUCUUACUACAAGAAACAGGUAUGGACACUGAAUUUGACUUAAUUUUCCAGAUGUUAGGUUGGACAAAUUUUUGGAAUAUAACUGAGCUGGGUUCUCGUCUUCUCACCAUCAAAUUUCUUUGCACUUUACAAUACUAUGAGGGGGGAAUUGUUUUUCGGAUGUUCAAACAGGAGAUUAUGUUGUCUUGGGAGCUGAGCGACCAUCUUGGUUUCUCUUCAAGAUGCAUCCUGAACAUUGACUCCGACUGUUGACACUUGCUAACACCACUUGAAUACUUGGUUGUCAUCCCCAGCGUGGCACUAGAGUGUACUAUGGUAUUUAUACGCACACAGAUAAUCCGCAAGCGCACGGAUACCGUUGAAGCUUUUACCCGGUUAAAGGUUUUAUCGUAUCCACAGGGAAACGGGAGAACUGAUCUACGCUCUAACUUAACCAAGAUAAGUAAAUAGGUGUGAAUAGGAAAGAUGGUAGAAUCGAAUAAGAACAAUAUUAAAGGUAAGAUAACAGUGAGUGAUAAUAUGGCAAUAGAGAGUAGAGCAAUUCUAGUAUAUGGGCGAUGGUAGCAGAAUAGAGAGGAUAACUAUGGUUUCUCUACUUCAAAGGGGUAUGUCUAUGUCUGGGACGAACCACGUGAUAAGAGUACACCACAAAGGAUGCUUAUCCAUAGGCCGAUAAACCCUACCCGUCCUGCUAACGAGAGGUGGACUACAGGGGACCAACGUAACUGUCACCUACGCGGCCUACCACACGAUCCAGCUAGUCAGGGGAUAUCCACAAGUAAUCUAGGUCUAAGCACCACGCUUACACCUAUACUACAACUCUAACCUAUAGGGUCCUAUAGAUUAGAAGUACUCAAAAGAGUUGUGAACCAGAACAUACAUGAUUAGUAAUUGCAUAAUGAAUUAGAAGUAGAUUACCAGAGUCAUCCCAUGAGCAAGCUUGAUUAGAGCUUGAUCAUGGCGAAGUACAACCGGAGGAAGAACCGACAGGCCGGCCUCUCCUCUAAUCCUCCUUCGCUCUCCAUCUCGCUACUAUCUAGAUCUACUCUAGUUUAGAGAAGAGAGGAGAGCUCUCAUCUCUAAACCCUAGCUUUUGCUCUGUGUAUGAAUAAUGAAUAAUGAUCAAGGGGUGCCUCCUCCAGGGGCCAGGGGGUCUGGUUUUCUAGUCCCCUCAAGUGAACCUGGGCCGUCGGAUCAAACCGACAUUGAUUGAACGGUUAUUCUUGAUCCUUUAGGUCGGUGGAGCAUAAUCCGCGAGAUUGAGCGUGAUUGGCCGAAAAAGGUGGGCGGGCGCCCUAAGGACUUGGGCGGGCGCCCUGUCCCUGACUCCGUUCGGUCUCCGCUUCCUUCCCGUGGCUUCUGGAGUCUUCUAGAUGUAAGAUAAUUGCGCGGCACGUUGAUAUCUCUAUGUAAUCCCGACGUGUGGGCCUUUCUUCCUUAUUUCCUGAUAACCCCCUGCAGAAAUAGACAAACACCAAAACUUGUGGAAUUCUGUCAGAUAAAACCCUAAGUCUCGAUGUUGAUUUCAUUUGGAUCCUUUUCUUUGUUUAUUUGAUAGUUAAAUUUGAUACUUAAGGACCGUCAACAAACUCCCCCAAGCUUACCUCUUGCUCGUCCCUGAGCAAGGAUAGACUCAGCUAUGGAUCAUAAGUUGUUGCAAUAUCUUUAAAAAAUUGACGGUACACAUGCUUUUAAAUGAGGUCUCAUCUCUGAGUUAGAGUAAACUGUCAAGACUUAAAACUUACUUACUUUACCUUUCACCAUGGGACUUGUAACCGUCACUUCUGUCUUGAGUGGUUAAAAGAUAGAACAGUCCAGUCAAGUGCCAUGUCGCUUAUUCUUGAUCAGCUAUAGCUCUGGAGUUUUUGCAGAUUUCCAAAUAAAACUCAGAGAUUCCUUUGUAUGACUCUCUCAUAUCUCUCUUUUGUGGUAUUUCUGGAUCCUUACCAAGGCAGUGAUGGUAUAUGCCUUCUCUCAAAAUAUGUGGUAUUUGUGGUAUAAGGGAUAGUGACAUUGUCUUCUCUCUCACCCUACUCUAAUAAGGCUUUAAUAUCUGGAGCUCAUAGGUGGGAGAUAAAAUAUACAUACUUACAAGACAUUUAUUGUAUAGUCAAACCAUGGAUCCAAAGAAAGAAAUCAAUUAGCCAAAUCAAGAUGUGCAUGUGUGGCGAAUGAAUAGUGUAUGGUGAUGAUGGUGAUAACAAUGGUGAAAGUCUAAUUCUACUUUUGCUCUUUUGAGGGGCUACAUACCUUCCUUGCUUUUUGAAACUUUAUGAGGAGAAUGAGAUGCUCUUCUUUUUCUUUUCUCUCAGAUGGGUAUCCUGUACCCCUAAUUUUACUGUCGGACACUUGUCCAUUUUUACCUCUCGUCUCACUCUUUUUCUUUUCUUUCGAGGUUCCGGGCACUUGCCCCUUUUUAUUUCCUCGUUUAUUUUUUUUUCUUUUCUCUUUUUUUUCUUCUUUUUUUAGAGCACUCAUCUCUUAAGAUAAUAUAGCAAGUGGUAGUAGCAAGAUAACUUGAGCAUUUAUUUCACAAGGGAAAAACACAGAUGUUUUUGGCUAUUCUCUCCCGAAUUAGGAGUAGAAUAUUUUUAGGUGAUUCUGGAGAUGGAAAUGGAUGGAUAUAUGUGCUUGGUACUUCCGGAGUAGAAGUAGCAUAUAUAUGAGUGAACGUGCAAGUGAAUCUUGAUUUAACCACAUGACAAGCUCCUAAGGGUCUACACAGCUUGACCACACUCAAUGCUCAUAAGCAGUAAAUAAUAAAUGUGUGGCUCAAAGUCUAGCAAGCAUGUAUAUCUGGCUGUGGUAGAAAUUUAAACUUUUAUCAUACAGGAACUCAUCAUGCAACAUUUUAAAGAUUUUUCAAAGAUAAAAUUCUCCAGAAUUCUAGCAUCUCUAGGAAUAGAUAAACAGCAGCUCAACAUUCCCAUAUCAUAUCCGUUAACAACUUAGAUUUCAGAUCAAGUUUUCAUCCCACAAGUUUAGAUCUAGAGCAAGCUUUAAAUUAUAACAGUUAUGUCUAAACUUGAGAGAGAACUUCAAAUUUGCAAAUUAGGCAGAGCAAUUAUUCAUCAUAUCCAUGCUAGAGUUUUAUUAUUAAGAUUCAGAUUAGCAUAGCCACUUUAUUUAUUUAUUAAACACACUAAGCAAAAGAUAUAUAUAUAUAAGCACAAAAUCUUUAUUUGGUUUUUCAUAGUUUAUGUAUUUUAAUAUUCUAAUAUAAUAUAAGUAUAAAGAUAGGUAGAAAUACUUAGCGAGAUAAAUGGGGGUGCUCUCCCCCAAGCUGAAUUUUGACGUAAUUUCUCUUGAUGUAGCUAGCAGGUGGCUGAGGUGUAUUUGAAAGUCAGCAGCAUUCUGACAGCGAUUAGAAUGUCCUCCGUCUGCUAGUCUUCAUGAUUCUUAAAUCCUGUGGAGCUCAAAUAGACAACAAAGCUUGUGGAACUAAUUAAGUGUUAGCAUAAAUAUCUAGCCUUCAUCACGUUGAGCUUCCUCAAUAAAUAUUACUCCCCGUUUUUAUAUUUUUAUUUUAUAAAGUAGAAAAGAAAUAUUUAUUUUAUUUUUAUGCCACCACAGUGAAGGUACUUAUGGGUUUUAUGCCACUCGUAUACUCACAUGGGGCUUAGUAUUUUUUAACAUUUUUCUUUUCUUUUCAAGAUAGCAUGAUUAACUAAUAAUCUAUUUAAGGAAAGUAAAUAAUUAAAUGGAAAAGGGAAUGCAGAAAGGAUAAAUAUGGAUAACUACCAAUCUUACCUUUUGGCGAGGGUUCAAUGUUUUAAGUCUUCUUGUCAAGACUUCUCAUCGUGUUCAUUCUUCAGGUGCGUCAUUUGAUUCAGGUGCGGACCUUGACGUCUGCACCUUUUAAUACGGUGUCACCCAUGUUCUUCGUUUGCCCAGCAGUUCGAAGUGCGGUGUUAGCAGUAUCUUGCUCAGUGUGUUUGUGCUCGUAGUGUACCUGCUCAUAGAGACAAGGCAUAGAUCAAGUGCAUGGGCCCUGUUGGUGGAAAACACCAACAGAACCAAAAGUGUAUUUGUUCUUCUCUAACCUUAAGCAUAGUGAGCAAGACAAGUUGAUGGAUGAUAAGUUCAUGAGUGUAGCACUUAUAACAUUUGUCAGAUCAGAUCGCUCAACCUUAUGGAAAGAUAAUCUAUCUAUGUAUAUGUCUUUUUCUUUAUAUCUCUCAAUGAUUGAAUGUGUAACAUUUUAGCUCAUAUGAUUAGGAGUGUGGGAUCAUGGAGGUAGUACUAAGAACAAGGAUUAAAGGACUAAACAUGUUGAAUCAGUUGGGUUGGUUAAUCUAGAGUUGUAAAUCAUACACGUUUGUCUCUUUUAUUUAUAUGAACGCCAGAACCAAGGAGAAGCUUAUAAAAGAGAUAGUCAAGUACCUUAAGAUGUUACCUUGCUCGAAGAGUGAUGGUACAGUAUCAUCUUGUGGAAGCUUUCCUUUCUUAGCGGUUGUGCGUCGUGUUUGUGGCACCCUCCAUGGAUCAUCUCUCUAUGAUGAAUGAGCUAUGUCCUUCUUGUGCAAAUUGUUAAACUUCAUGUGUCACUCUCUUCGUCUCUGAUGUGAGUUUAUCUCAGGACUUCCCAAAUUGAUAUUGAAAUUUUUUCUGCAGGGGUUAGUCCGACAAAAUAUACCAAUAUCUACUCAAGCAGUUUUUUUUAGUUCAAUAACCAAACUAGACUCCAUGUCUAAUCAGAUUAAGGAAGGCUAUUUAACCUAAGCACCAUGCUUAAUUUAAAUGCCAAUGGAAGUAUGGCGAGUACUUCCAAACCAACACUUGCUAGUAAAUAGAUAAAGGUAGCAUGACAGCGUUUAUAGAGAUCUACUCAAGUAGAGAUGAAGUAGUGUGAUUAGUAUUUAACAAAUUGAGCAUGUCUCAAAGGUAGGGACAACCAGCAUAGCAACAUGGCAAAGGAUGUUUUUAUGUAAAGUACUCCCCCAAGCUUGAAUUUUGCAAAAUUCAAGUUUGGAUGAAUUUAAUUCAAUGUUGUAUGAUGAUUGGUUGGACAUACCUUGUGCUUGUCAUUCAUCCGAUCUUCUUGCUCCAAUCUUAGAAAGGUUAGUGACAUGAAUACCCGAAGGAAUAUUUUUUUUACAAUUAUCCUUAUAUGCUCAAUACACAAGGUAAUGUUGCAAAUAAUUAAAGGCUCAUGUUACGAUCUGAUCAAUGCUUAUUUUAAGACACUAAGCUUGUCCUUGGGAAACCAUCAGUUUAUGUUGGCGAAGUGGUUUCCCCUCCGACGCCAACCUAUAUCUAGAUCAACUCAACGAGAUCUGCAAUAUUUAUUAUAGACAUAUGCAUCGACAACCGCCCUUUUAAAGUUUUUAUAAAUAGAAAGGAAGAGGGGGUUGGAGAUCUCAAGUUUGGUGAUGUCGGAGAGACCAAUAGAUUGGGAAGAUGUUGCAUAUGAGCAUGGAGUAAACGAAGUGGCUAUGAAAUAAAUUCCAUGCUCAUUAAUGUUAUCUUCGUCUCUAAUCUGAAUGUUCGGAGUUUCUCCUGGAUUGGUCUCACCUAUGUCCUCUUCUGUAGUUGGAUGAAUCUCAUCUUCAAAGGGAGUCAAGAACUCACCAUUUGAAAUGGAGCCAAAGUCAGAACCUAUUAAGGCUUCUUCCUUAUCCAUCCAUUCUACACAUUCUAGCCAUUUAGAACUUGUGAUCAAAAUAGGGGAGGUGUUAGAAUUUUCUAUAUGGCUUAGCUCUCCUUCUAUGGCAUUACUUGACAUGCCAUCCUUAUGGUCUUCAUGACUCCUAUGGUUUGGUCGUCUUGGUGAAUUGCUAGGAUCAUCAUGAGACUGAAAAGAAGAGGGAUAAGAGGGAUCUCUAAGGUCAAGGAUGGAUUUAGAACUUGUGAACAUGGAAGGGGAGUAGAUAGAAUUGUCUAUAUGGCUUAGCUCUCCUUCACUUGAUAUGUCAUCCUCGACUUCUUCAUGAUAGAAACCAGGACAUUCUCUAAGAGAAACAUUAUUGCAAUGAUUUGAAUUAUCCCUGCUUGAAGGUCUCUUAUAGAACCAGAAGUCUAAACCAUCAGCAUCUAAAAGAUUUAAGGUCGGAAUUCCUUCCUCCCUUGGAGAAUUUUGGGGUAUUGAUGGUUUAGGAUCGAUAGCUAAAGUUUGGGAUUGAAGUGGUUGUGAUCUGGCUAUCGAAACUUCUUCUUCUUGUCUAGGAACUGGUUCUUUCUCUUUCUCAGGGAUAUAAAAGCUAGGAGACUUUCCGCUCAUUAAAUCAAUCAAAUUCCAAGCUUCACUAGCGGAUAGGUGGUGGAAAGAUCCUCCAGAGGCCGCAUGAAGGGUUUGCUUAUUUUUCCUACUAAGGCCCUCAAAAAAGUGAAUUAGAAGAACUUCUUCUCGAAUAGAAAGUUUUGGGCCAGUGAGAGUAAGGUUAAUAAAGCGGUCCCAUGAUUUGCCAAGAGAUUCUUCUUCCAGUUGUCUAAAAGAAAGAAUCUCACGCCGAAGUUCCACCACUUUAGAGAUUGGAAAAUAUUUAGAAAGAAAACUACUAUAUAACUCCUUCCAAUCUCAAUGAACACUCCCUACUUUGAGUUUAUACCAAUGUCUAGCUUUUCCCGUUAAAGAGAACGGAAAGAGCUUCCAUUUAAGGGUCUCAUCGGACAUGCCUUCUAUGCGAAGGAGGUCACAGACUCGAUAAAACUCUCUUAGGUGUGUGUAUGGGUUUUCCUCACCUUUUCCUGAGAAAGGUUGUUUUUGAAUAAAUUCUAUGUAUUCGGGGUCUAUCUCAAAACUAGAUGCUAUGAUAGGCUUUGAAGAUUUUGGUGGUUCGAGAUGUGUGCCCAUAGGUCUAUGAAAUUCAUAGAUAGACAUGUUUGAAUUCAUAAUAGACCAGAGAUCAAGGAUUAGAUAAGAAGAAAGAAUAGCAGAGAUGAGGCAAAGGAUAAAAGGAAAAUAUUUUUUUUAUUUAUUUUUUAUAAAAUGAUUAAACUAGUUCGUAGUCAACUCAGCAACCUUUUCCCCGGCAACGGCGCCAAAAAUGCUUGUUGACACUUGCUAACACCACUUGAAUACUUGGUUGUCAUCCCCAGCGUGGCACUAGAGUGUACUAUGGUAUUUAUACGCACACAGAUAAUCCACAAGCGCACGGAUACCGUUGAAGCUUUUACCCGGUUAAAGGUUUUAUCGUAUCCACAGGGAAACGGGAGAACUUAUCUACGCUCUAACUUAACCAAGAUAAGUAAAUAGGUGUGAAUAGGAAAGAUGGUAGAAUCGAAUAAGAACAAUAUUAAAGGUAAGAUAACAGUGAGUGAUAAUAUGGGAAUAGAGAGUAGAGCAAUUCUAGUAUAUGGGCGAUGGUAGCAGAAUAGAGAGGAUAACUAUGGUUUCUCUACUUCAAAGGGGUAUGUCUAUGUCUGGGACGAACCACGUGAUAAGAGUACACCACAAAGGAUGCUUAUCCAUAGGCCGAUAAACCCUACCCGUCCUGCUAACGAGAGGUGGACUACAGGGGACCAACGUAACUGUCCCCUACGCGGCCUACCACACGAUCCAGUUAGUCAGGGGAUAUCCACAAGUAAUCUAGGUCUAAGCAACAUGCUUACACCUAUACUACAACUCUAACCUAUAGGGUCCUAUAGAUUAGAAGUACUAAAAAGAGUUGUGAACCAGAACAUACAUGAUUAGUAAUUGCAUAAUGAAUUAGAAGUAGAUUACCAGAGUCAUCCCAUGAGCAAGCUUGAUUAGAGCUUGAUCAUGGCGAAGUACAACCGGAGGAAGAACCGACAGGCCGGCCUCUCCUCUAAUCCUCCUUCGCUCUCCAUCUCGCUACUAUCUAGAUCUACUCUAGUUUAGAGAAGAGAGGAGAGCUCUCAUCUCUAAACCCUAGCUUUUGCUCUGUCUAUGAAUAAUGAAUAAUGAUCAAGGGGUGCCUCCUCCAGGGGCCAGGGGGUCUGGUUUUAUAGUCCCCUCAAGUUAACCUGGGCCGUCGGAUCAAAUCGACAUUGAUUGAACGGUUAUUCUUGAUCCUUUAGGUCGGUGGAGCAUAAUCCGCGAGAUUGAGCGUGAUUGGCCGAAAAAGGUGGGCGGGCGCCCUGUCCCUGACUCCGUUCGGUAUCCGCUUCCUUCCCGUGUCUUCUGGAGUCUUCUAGAUGUAAGAUAAUUGCGCGGCACGUUGAUAUCUCUAUGUAAUCCCGACGUGUGGGCCUUUCUUCCUUAUUUCCUGAUAACCCCCUGCAGAAAUAGACAAACACCAAAACUUGUGGAAUUCUGUCAGAUGAAACCCUAAGUCUCGAUGUUGAUUUCAUUUGGAUCCUUUUCUUUGUUUAUUUGAUAGUUAAAUUUGAUACUUAAGGACCGUCAACACCGACCUACCUUACUUUGAGAGACACCAGUUUUGGAGAGAAAUAUCUAGAGAUAAUUUUUAUAGUCAAGCCCGAACCAGUGACAUGGAACACCCCACUCUUAGGAUGUUCCACAAAUGGCUUGGGUACAAUUUUUUCUAUCGUGAUGAUAUUAGGAAAGUAAGAGUAGGAGAUUUGCAACUUCUAUAUGCUGCUAUUAAUAAAGUACCCACUUCACUUGUUACACUUAUAGGUUCUCAUUGGCUUAGUGUACCUAGUGUUUAGGGACCAGUAGGAUGUACUUCACUUAUCACUUGUCUAGCCUCUAAUCUUCACUUACUAGAAAACUCGUUGUUGGACUUCAUAGAUGAGUUAAGAAUUUAUCAUGGCUAUGACACAUUUAGACAAGCUCGGAUGUUAAAGAAAGAGGGGAACAUAAUGUAUAUGCUAUAUGAUGAUAAAGGCAAGAUUCGGUUACCUAACCCGAACCUUGGCCUAUACGUUGUUCAAAAUUUUGUGAUUGAGAUUGCAGCAACACCGGUGAACCAGAGAGCUCCACAACGAGUGGCAUCUGAAAGGAUGACCACCCAUCAAGAACGCACCUGGUAUGGAGCUGAUCCCGGACCAGAAGAAGCAGCGCACCUGCAUUAUCGUGACUACAACCCCCGAGUCCUUCGAGACCCAUGGGUUCGACAUGCGCAACCACAAGAGCCAACACAGGAGACAUGGCCGGAGAGCCAAGAUCACCAGUGGACAAACCCGCCUUUUCAUACGGGCAGGUACUCCACUGAUCCAUAUGGAGCUUCAAGAUCUAGACCUCCGCCCCAAUUCGAUGCAGGACGAUACUCCGACGCCUCCUACGCUUUCACGAACGACUACUAUCAAGAGGCCAACGCUUUCUUCAACUGCACCGACAACACCCUCCUCGACAUCCAGAACACACAAGCAGAACAUGGACGACUCCUGGAAGAGCAACAAAAAUGGAACCAGGACCAUGCCGCUGCAGUACAAGAGCUGAGACAAGAUACAACAACAAUGAACGACAACAUCACAACCAUGAUGCAGUUCUGGAACAUCGGGUAAGACGGACAUCAACAUCCAGCUUGGGGGAGUCCCUCCCCAAUUUAUCAAGUAAGUUUUUAUUUGCUUUUCUUAUUUAUUCUUUUUUGUUUUAGUGUUUUAUUUAUCUUAUAGAGAAAAACAUAGAAAACCCAAUAAAUAUUUUCUUGCUUUAAUUUACCGCAUUCUAUAAACAUGAAAACAAAAUAAAAAGAGUAUAAGUGUGCUUUAUUUUUCUGCUAAGUAUUAAUCUCUAGAAAAAAUAAAAAGACCAAAAAGAUGUAUGAUAGAAAUGACGAAUAGUUGCUCUGUUUGCUUAGUUUCAAGUACCUAGCUUUUAUAUUAGAGUUCUUCUAGGAAUUACUAAAACUGAAUUUACUAUCUAUGGGAAACAUAAAACUAAAGACUAGGUAAGAGAAAGGCAUAAUAUAAAGUUUGAGCUGCUGUUUAUCUUGUUUCUACCACACUAAGUUCUGGAGAUUUAUUUUGGAAACUUACAAAUCACAUGAUGAGUUCCUAGCAUAACAAACUACCUACGACAACCAUACUUCCUAUAACGUCUUUUACUAUAUUCACAUUGAGUUUGAUCGAGCUGUGUAGACACUUAGGAGCUGUUCAUGUAGUUAAAUUAAGAUAUUCAUUUGCACACAUCUACUACACCAUCCACCACCAUCUAUUAAAAUUGCUAAAAAUAUUAUCACUCACUGUGCCAAGUAUUGUUACUCUCUCUCUAAAAAGAUUCAAUGCAGAAGAGGCAUGGGUUAUGCAAAAAAUAUGCGAGGAAAUAAAAAGGGGCAAGUGCCCGGAACCUCGGAAAAGAAAGAAAAAGAGUGAGACGAGAGAUAAAAAUGGACAAGUGUCCGGAGUAGAAUUAGGGGUACAAAGAUGCCCACUUGAGCGGAAAAAAUAGACAAGUGUCCGACAGUAGAAUUAGGGGUAUCUACUACCCACCUGAAAAAAAGAGAAAAAGAUAGCCCAUGUUCUCCCAAAGCAAAGAUCAAAGAAGAGAAGACAUAGCAAUAUGAGGAGCAAUGAGAACUAAGUUUUAUUAUCACAUUAUUACCAUCAUUUACUCCAUCACACAUGCACAUCUUAAUUUAAUUAUAUGCUAAGUUCCUUUGGAUUCAUGGCUCGAUUAGACAACAUAUGUAUGAGCUGUUUUUCACUCCUAUGAGUGCCACUUAAAUAUUCCAUUAGCUAUAGGUAAGUCACAUUUUGGUAAGGAUCCACAAAUACCACAUAUAGAGUGACUUGAGAGAUCAUUGCUGGGACUCUGAGUUUUAUUUUUAACUUAUGCAAAACACUGGAACAAAGGUGAAGUAUAGAUAGGAGGAAUAGUGCUUGACUUAAUUAUUUUGUCUUUCAAUUACUUAAGACUCUAGUGCAGGUACUAAGCUCCAUGAUACUUCACUCUAAUCUGAAAGAAUUUUUUAUAUAAAAGCAUGUGUGCCUGUCAAGAAAGAAAACAUCGAAGCAACUCCUGAUCCAUCUGAGUUUAUCUAUGUGCUCAGGGACGAGCAAUGGGUAAGCUUGAGGGAGUUUGUUGACGGUCCUUAAGUACUAAAAUUAACAAUCAAAUAAACAUGGAAAAGGAUCAAUAUGCACCAAACAUCUAGAAUUAGGGUUUUAUCUGACAGAAUUCCAUGAGCUUUGGUGUUUAUCUAUUUCUGCAGGGGGUUAUCAGAGAAUAUGGAGAGAAGGCCCACAUGUCAUGUUUACAACGAGAUAAUUUUCCUCAAUCUAGAAGAGUCCAGUGUUGAUAUUUAGUAACGCAAUAAGGAAAUGAUCCGCAAGCGCACGGAGGUUAUCCAGAGUUAUCGUAUUUAUAUUUUUACCACUGGGAGAAAGGGUGCAUCUGACUAACCAAAUCUAUUGCUACUAUCCCUUUAGGCUACAAAGAAUGUUUCUCGAUGUGAGCGAUGUAUAGAGAAGACUGCAACCGUAGUCUCGUUCUAACCUUGGUAAGGAUGAUCUACUGUUCUAUUGGGGAGGCUCACGGAAUCUAGACAACACAAAGGAUGUUCGACCCGCACCUAUAAACCUACCCGUCCUGCUAACAAGAUAUGGGAUACAAAGGUAACUCGGAAAUGUCACGUUCCUCGCUACUACCACGGUCCUGCUAGUCAGGGGAUAUCUAUGAGUACCCUAGCCUAAACACCACGUUUACGCUAGCAAUGAUUACUCUAAUACUCAACCGGAAGAGGAUUAAAGUAAACUCAUAAACCAAAGAACAAUAAAACAAGAACUUACAAGAAUUAGAAGUCGAAUUACUGAAGAAUCUUAGAAGCAAGCCUUAGGUUAGGAGACUUGAUCCCGCAGGUACAACUCGAAGUAGACACCGACAGGUCGGCCUUCCUCCGAUCUACACCUCCACUCUAUCUCUCUCAAUCUAGUAGAAACUAGAAGAUCUAUUUCUACUUACAUUGGUUGCUAAGCCUAAAAAGAAAUAUUAUUUAGAGAAGAGGUUUUCCUUCGAGGGCACCCCUCAAUCUCUAUGAUAACUUCUUGUCUUCUCCAGGGGCCAGGGGGGUCUCCUUAUAUAGUCCUCCUCCUCUAUGCGUUUUUGGGUCGGUAGGCGAGGUGGUACUAUGUUUUCCUUGAUCCAAUAGGUCGGUGGAACGUCGUGUGCGAAGAGAGUCCCGAAGGGCUUCCAGAGGUGGGCGGGCGCCCAGGUCACCAGGGCGGGCGCCCUGGGCCUUGCCCCUUUCGGCCUCCGCUUAGUUCCCGUGGCUUCUGGAGUCUUCUAGAUGGUAGAAAAUUGCGUGGUGCGUUGAUAUCUCUAUGUAAUCCCGACAUGUGGGCCUUUCUUCCUUAUUUCCUGAUAACCCCCUGCAGAAAUAGACAAACACCAAAACUCAUGGAAUUCUGUCAGAUAAAACCCUAAGUCUAGAUGUUGAUUUCAUUUGGAUCCUUUUCUUUGUUUAUUUGAUAAUUAAAUUUGAUACUUAAGGACCGUCAACAAACUCCCCCAAGCUUACCUCUUGCUCGUCCCUAAGCAAGGAUAGACUCAGCUAUGGAUCAUAAGUUGUUGCAAUAUCUUUAAAAAUUGACGGUACACAUGCUUUUUAGAUAAGAUCUUAUCUCUGAGUUAGAGUAAACUGUCAAGACUUAAAACUUACUUACUUUACCUUUCACCAUGGGACUUGUAACUGUCACUUCUUUCUUGAGAGGUUAAAAGAUAGAACAGUCUAGUCAAGUGCCAUGUCUCUUAUUCUUGAUCAGCUAUAGCUCUGGGGUUUUUUGCAGAUUUUCAAAUAAAACUCAGAGAUUCCUUGUAUGACUCUCACAGAUCUCUCUUUUGUGGUAUUUCUGGAUCCUUACCAAGGCAGUGAUGGUAUAUGCCUUCUCUCAAGAUAUGUGGUAUUUAUGAUAUAAGGCAUAGUGACAUUGCCUUCUCUCUCACCCUACUCUAAUAAGGCUUUAUUUGGAGCUCAUAGGUGGGAGAUAAAAUAUACAUACUUACAAGACAUUUAUUGCAUAGUCAAACCAUGGAUCCAGAGAAACAAGUCAAUAAGUGAAAUCAAGAUGUGCAUGUGUGGUGAAUGAAUGGUGUAUGGUGAUGAUGAUGAUAAUAAUGGUGAAAGUCUAAUUCUACUUUUGCUCUUUUGAGGGGAUACAUACCUUUCUUGCACUUUGAACCUUUUUGGGGAGAAUGAGAUGCUCUAUAUUUUCUUUUUCUUUCCUCUCAGGUGGGUAUCUUGUACCCCUAAUUCUACUGUCGGACACUUGUCCAUUUUUACCUCUCGUCUCACUUUUUCUUUUCUUCGAGGUUUCGGGCACUUGCCCCUUUUUAUUUCCUCGUAUUUAUUAUUUUUUUCUUUUUUUUACUAGAGCACUCAUCUCCUGAAAUAAUGUAGCAAGUGAUAGUAACCAAAAUAAAUGGAGCAUUUAUUUCACAGGGAAUAACAGAAAUAUUUUUGGCCAUUCUUUCCCGGAUUAGGAGUAGAAUGUUUUUUUUGGGUGGUUCUGGAGAUGGAAAUGAGUGGAUAUAUGUGGAUGGUACUUCUGGAGUAGAAGUAGCAUGUAUGAGUGAACGUGCAAGUGAAUCUUGAUUUUAACCACAUGACAAGCUCCUAAGGGUCUACACAGCUUGACCACACUCAAUGCUCAUAAGCAGUAAAAAGUAAAUAUGUGGCUCAAAGUCUAGCAAGCAUGUAUAUAUGGCUGUGGUAGGAAUUUAAACUCUCAUCAUAUAGGAACUCAUCAUGUGUUAUUUUAAAGAUUUUUCAAAGAUAAAAUUCUCUAGAAUUCUAGCAUCUCUAGAAACAGAUAAACGGCAGCUCAACCUUCCCAUAUCAUAUCCGUUAACAACUUAGACUUUAGAUCAAGUACUCUUCCCACAAGUUCAGGUUUAGAGCAAAUCUUACUUCAUAACAGUCAUGCCUAAACUUGAGAGAGAUUUCAAUUUUAAGAACUAGUCAUGGCAGAGCAACUAUUCAUCAUUUCCAUGUGAGAGUUUAUCAUGAGGGUUCAUAGCAAACUUUAUUUAUUUAUUUAUUUAGCAAACUAAGCAAAAAUAUAUAUAUAAAAGCACAAAAUCUUUAUUUGGGUUUUUAUGAUUAUGCAUCUUUUAUUAUUUGAGUAAAGUAUAAACGCGAGUAGAAACACUUAGCUGGAUAAAUGGGGGUGCUCUCCCCCAAGCUGGAUUUUGACAUAAUUUCUUCUCAUGUAGCUAGCAGGUGGCGGAGGUGUAUUUGAAUGUCGACAGCACCGUGACAACGAUUAGGAUGUCCUCCGUCUGCUAGUCUUCUUUGAUCCUUGAAUUCUGUGGAGUUCAAAUAGACAACAAAGCUUUGUGGAACUGGUUAAGUGUUAGCAUAAAUGUCUAGCCUUUAUCAUGUUGAGCCUCCUCAAUAAAUGUUAUUUAUUUACCAGGAUCAUGCACUUAUUAUUUUUAUAUCUUUAUUGUAAGAUGAAAACAUAUUUAUUUUAUUUUUAUGCCACCACAGUCAAUAUACCUAUGGGUUUUUAAACCACAAGUCUACUCACAUGGGGCUUACUAUUUUUUUUUAACAUUUUUAUUUUCUUUUCAAGAUAGCAUGAACCUGAUUAACUAAGCAAACUAUUGAAUGGAAAAGGAUAACUACCAAGUUUAUCUCUUGGCAAGGCGUUCGGUAUUUUUAAGUCCUCCGAACGGGACUCUCCGUUUUCUCAGUUGUCCUGGGAUUCGCUAGGUGGCGUAGUCGGUGAUUCUGGCGGCACCUCUCUUCGUGUAUAACUAUCUUCUCCCUCCACACCUGACUCGGUGCUACGGUCUCCUCAGGACAGUUCUGUUCAAGCUAUAUGUCUUCAGUCCUUAUCACUUCUCCUUCGUAGUCUACCCAUCCGUUCUUGAUGAUUUGCCUCCUCUGGUUACGGUUGCGUCGUCUUCUUGUCCUGACCUGCUUAGAGUCUUCAACUAUAUAGUUAUGGUCAGUAAAAUAGUUGCGUACCUUCUCAGAGGGGAAGUACAUAUGGACUUCUCCGGUUCUAAUGUAGAUGAUUGCUUUGAUAGUGUUGAGGAACGGUCUUCCAAGGAUGGUGGGUGGAUCAUACUCGUCUUCUCCCAUGUCAAUGACCUAAAAAUCAUCUGGAGCUGAAUAUAUUGGUUGUAGGGGCAUGGUUCUAUGCAGGAGCUGAUAAGUGACUGCGGCCAUUAUGUUGUCGUCAGAUCCGGUGUCGUAGAGUGUCUUCUGAAAAAAAGUGUAUCUGUUGAUUGUGCACUCAAUGCUUGGAACAUCAGGGUCGUCCUUCUUGAUCAAGAAAGGUGACUCGAGUCGACAAUCUUGACCUCCUUGAGCUGCAGUGACCAUCUCAGCUGACUCGGUCCACAUUUGCUUGUUCUUGUUCCUCCUGUUGGUCCUCUUCCUUGGUUCAUAUCAGGAUUGCUCUGAAGUUUGUGUAGUCUUGUUCUUGAAGGAAAGUAUCCUUCUUCCCCUUGAUGUAGAGACUGAUCUUGGCAGCAUUAGCGUAGAUGACAGCUCUGGUGUUUAGGAAUGGCCUCCCUAAGAUGAUGGGUGCCCUCUCCUCAGUACCAGUCUCUAUCACCAUGAAGUUUGCUGGAGCGUACAAGGUACCAACUCGGACACAGAGGUUCUUCAAUAUUUCCUUUGGGAAACUAAGUGUCUGAUCUCCAUUGUGUUUGUGCUCGUAGAUCCCGGUUCUUCACUUGGUGGAAUCUGGGAGUUGUAAAACUCCUCCAUGUUUUGCUUGAAGUGUACCUAUUCAUAGAGACAUGGCAGAGAUCAAGUGCAUGGGCUCUGUUGGUGAAAAACACCAACAGAACCAAAAGUGUAUUUGUUGUUCUCUAACCUUAAGCAUGGUGAGCAAGACAAAGUUAAUGGAUAAUAAGAUCAUGAGUG